AUUAUGCAAACUGAAGUUUUAAAAUCAUUUCUACUUUCUAAGAACUAAACUUCAAUCUUCCACAAAAAUCUAUGUGUAUUGGUUCCUUAGGUUCCGAGAAUAAUAUGCUACUAAUCUCACCCCCCAACCUAACUCUUUUCAACACUUUAGCAACCUGACCAAAAUCAAUAAGAAAAGAACACACUUUCAUUUUUUUUUUUUUUUUUUAAGGUAGCUUUAUGGGGUACUCUUUCUGACUUGUCCAUGUAAUGGGGGUCCAUCGAUGACUCCCAACCAAUUAAGGUUUAGGGCACCAAGUUUUAAGGAUCUUUCAACCACUAACUCCUCGGAUUUUUCCCCGGACUUUUAAGAAUGAAUUUCUAAUACCCAAGCAUCUACCAUAUGCUAACUCUACCUAUUCACCCUUGUAACGAGCAUUGAGGUCGGUGACUCCCAACCAAUUAAGGCUUAGGGCACCAGGCUUUAAAGAUUUUCACCAUAUACCCCUCAGACCUUGCUCGGGUUUCAAGGCAAGCAAACAAAUUUCUUUAUUUCAAAGGCUCAUUGGCCUUUUGCAGGGUGUUUCAAUUUUUAUCAAAUGAGGUCAAAUAUACCAAGUCCCAAAAAUAUACUAAGUCAAGAGGGAAAUAGCUUUUCAUCUUAUAAUCGGAAACUAAUGUGCACAGUGUGUGGAUAGCUUAAAGUGGAAGAACUCAAUUCAAUUACAGUAGAAGUUUCAACAAUUGAACUACUUUAGUAAGCAUAAUCCAUACUCUAAGUCAAGUGAAAAACAACAGUUCAAUUUCUCUUGGUUUAAUUUUGAAAAUUUUCCUCAAAAUUCAUGGAGAAUAGAGUAACAAGAGUAAAAAGUAAAAUCUACAACUAAUUAACCAAUAAUUGCAAUACCAAAAAGAUUUAGCAUACUUCCUUCCUCAUACCCCCCAACCGAACUGAGCAUUGUCCUCAAUGUGAUUUGAGUGACUGUAAUAAAAGGGAGGAAGUGGUACCUCCAUGCUGAUAUCAAAUUCGAAUAUUGAUUGGGGAAAACCACAUGUUUCAAAAAGAAUAGAAUAUGUGAGAAAAGGAAAUAAGGAGAAUUUAAUGCUAACUUUUAACAAGAAAUAUUCAACUUGUAUUACUUUGAGUUCAUUUGAUUACGAUGCUAAAGACAAGUAACACAAGGAAUCCCAUAUAUAGUACCAAAAUACUGGGAUUUCUUUUCAACUAAAACAAAACAAACAUGCAUAAAAACAUAAACAGCAAAUAUAUAUAUAAUGUCUGAUGAGUGGGGUGAUGGUGCUAGGCAGAAGGAUCUGCCUCUUCAGUAGGUGGAUCAGCUGGGGUUUCAGGCUCUGGAGCUUGAGACUCUGAAGGCUGAGAGUGUGGCUCUGGUGGAGUAGGAAUGGAGGGCUCUACAGCUUGUGGCAGAUCGAAAUGGACUUGAAGCUGCCUUAGGAUGGCAACUUGUUGAGCCUGAGAGGCUAACAUCUGCUCCUGGCAUGCUUUGAUGGCUGCCAACUCCUGAGCAAGAUUGCUCUGGGAAGCUGUAAGAGUCUCCAAUGCUCGGCACAGCUCUCGAUAUUCGGAUAUAGGGAUGGCCAUCCUAGGCUCAGCAGAUGUGGAUGGCUGUGAUGGAGCAGGUGCAGCUGGUGGAGCUCGAGGGAUGGCAGGAGUAGCAAGUGUUAUACCUUCAGGUGGAUGUCUUGGGGAGGCUCUCCUUGCUGCUGGCUGAGGCUGCCCAGGCUGAUCAAUUUUGUAGGCCGUCAUAUUAUUCCAUUUAUCAAGGGUAAAUGGCUCACGGCAUAUUCUCUUUCUUUCCUGCUGAGGCUCAGAGGGGUAUCCGAGAUGCUCCAAAACUUGGCAUAACAGCCUUGGGAAGAGGAGUGGAAUGCAAUCUGCUCUUUGAAGCUUCUUCUUGUGAACCUUCUCCUCAAAGUAGAGAAGGGCUGCCAUGAUCAGAUGAUGAGGCCCAAAGAAGAAUCCUUCAGACAUCUUGUACAGGGCUUCUAGGAGAAUUCCCCUUCUUUGGGUCCAAUGCUGCAGGGGAUAGAUAUUAUGCCUCAAAAAGGCAUCAAUCAAAAACAUCACUGGAGGUAGCUCCCCCCUCAGCAGGUGUGACCGAUUUGCAGCUCCUCUAGUUAGGGUGCUAACCAUCUCUAACUCAGUAGGAUUUGUCCAAGCUUUAAAAUUGUCGAAUUGAGUUGGCUCAAAAGGAAUUUGCAGGGCUUCAGCAAUAUGUCUUGCUCCCAAAAUACCAUGCCUUCCAUCAAUUAUGAAAUGGAUCAGAGUUGGAUUUCUUACUUCUUUGGUUGUCAUGGUCUGGUAGAAGUCCGUGACUACCCGAGGAUAGAAAAAAUCCCUUGGAGCUAGCAGAUGCUCCAUAUGAUAUCUCCUCAGCAGCUGGAAUGAUUGGGCAAGCUCUGGCCUCACUCUAAAUGCUGCUAAGUCGAAGCAAAGCUCAGAAUGGAAUGCCCGAGUUCGGCAAUCCAAGUUUCCUUCGAUUGGGGCCUGGGGCAGCAUUGGCCUUCGGAUCACUUCUUCCAGAGGUGCUUCAGCUGCAAUUUGGGGCUCUGGAAUUGGCGCUUGAGGCUCCUGAGCUUUUUCUUGGGGUGCCGGAGAUUGUACCGGCGAUGGAAUUGGAGUUGCUUCUGGUGAGGGAAUUGGCGAGGCUACCGGUGACGACACUGGAAUUUGUACCGGUGAAGGAUUUGGAGAUUUCUCAGGGGAUUGCUCAGUCAAAUCGAUUGGUUCAGAGCUCUCAACCCUGGCUUUCUUCUUCAAUGGCUGACCACCUGACCUGGUUAAAUAUCGCCUUGCCGGCGGCUUUGGUAGCGCCGGCUUCACUGGAGGAGGGUUUGGUCUCGACGGCGAAGGCUUUGGAGCAGGUUCUGGAACAGAACCUGGACUUGGCUCCUUUCGCAGACUCCUUUUGCGGUUCGAAGGGGAUGACGACUUUGCCCCUCGCGUUCGUGCCAUUUUGGAAUACCGAAACUUUGGCCGGCGCUGCUGAACGGAGAAGACGACCGGAGACACGGACGGCGCGGCUUGGCGAAGAAGAUGAAGGGGCUGCGAGAAUGGUGCUCUGAUUUUUGAAACCCUUUUCGCAGCACUUUUGGCCGGUAUAAAUAGGAAAAAACGGAAGCCCAGGGGUCAGUUUACGUUUCGCAACAAAACGCCAAUUUCGCAGCAACUUGCCAUUUUCGCAGCAACUUCGCAGUGAGUUUCGCAGUUGCGAAAUUGAUGUCACUGUGUUGCGGAGUGGCACUCGUGUGCCAAAACCACUUUCGCAAUUGUGAAAUGCCCUGCGGAAUGGGACUUUUGGUGCGAAAUCACGCUUUUCCAUUUCGCAAUGAGUUUCGCAGCUGCGAAAUGGGUACUACUGUACUGCGAAGUGGCACUCGUGUGCCAAAUUCACUUUCGCAGCUGCGAAAUACCUUCGCAGAGGCUUCUACAGUGCUGCGGAAUGGGUUGGCAACAAAACGCCAAUUUCGCAGAGGUUUCCUUCACCCUGCGAAAUUUCGCAGAGCUCUGUUUUUCCCCUGUUUUUGCUCUGUUUCGGCUCCAAUUUCGACCCGAUUUUUUUUCUUUUCAAUCCCCUUGAAAUUUCUUCCGCCUGGGAUCAUAUAAAACGAUUAAAACACACCUAAAAACAUGAUUUAAGAUCAAAAACUAAGAUUAAAAGCAUAGAAACAACUUGAAAAUUUACAAAAUUUACAAAAAUUUUGGACUGUGGUUAAACCACGUCCAGCAAACCCAUUUCACUUAGGCUUUUUGAGGCUCAAGGAGGUUGAUUGCCCCCUUUUCUGAUUUGAAUGACUCCAUGAACGGCUUAAGACGAUAUCCAUUGACUCUAAAGCUGUCCUUGCCAUUGGAAUUCAAUAAGUCCACCACUCCAUUGGAAUAUACUCGGUGAAUAACAAAUGGACCAAUCCACAUUGACUUAAGCUUCCCAGGAAAGAUAUGGAGUCUUGUGUCAUACAUCAGAACUUUUUGCCCUUCCUGAUUCAGUUUGCCCGGAUCCCAUUUGAAGCUUGCAUCCUUCACUUGAGACUUGGUUUGAGAUGAAGAUAUUACGACAGGACAUUGAUUAUUUUCUUCAAGGUAUGUGUAUUUCAGCUCCAUAGGUAAAUGCUUCAGAUUGAGUUUUGGAAUUUCUUUUUCAACAGCUGCCUCCUCUUCUUCAUUGAACAGAGGUAGAAUUCCUUCUAUCUUUCUCCAACUGUGUAGAGUAGCAAGCCCAAUAGGAGAUUCAGAAAAACCUUCCUCAAUAUCCUCAAGACUUUCAUUCAACUUAUCUUGCAUAUGUUGAUUGCAGUGCUCCUCCACCAAAGUAUCAAUAAUACAUAGCUCUUCUGGACCCUCUUCUUCUUCUGUAGUGAUUUGCUUUUUAGACAUAUAGAAAAUAUUUAGAUCCAGUGUCAUAUUACCAAAAGUGAGUUGCAUAAGCCCAUUUCUACAGUUGAUGAUUGCAUUUGAAGUAGCAAGAAAUGGCCUUCCAAGGAUGAUAGGAACUAAAUUAGCUUCCUUUACAGUAGGAUCAGUAUCAAGAACAACAAAAUCUACAGGAUAGUAGAAAUUAUCUACUUGAACCAAUACAUCCUCAAUUACUCCUCUUGGAAUUUUCACUGAUCUAUCUGCCAAAGAUAAAGUGAUUGAUGUUGGCUUCAACUCUCCAAGUCCCAGUUGCUUGUAGACAGAGUAUGGAAGCAAAUUCACACUUGCUCCCAAGUCUAGCAAGGCUUUCUCCACUACCUUUCCUCCAAUCAUGACUGAAAUGGUAGGACUUCCAGGGUCUUUGUACUUCAAAGGAGACUUACACUGUAAGAUUGCACUUACUUGCUCAGUCAAGAAGGCUUUCUUGUUUACAGUCAACCCUCUCUUGAUAGUACACAAGUCCUUUAGGAAUUUUGCAUACGUUGGAACUUGUUUGAUCAUAUCCAGCAGUGGAAUAUUAACUUUCACUUGUCUCAAUACUUCUAGGAUUUCAGCUGCAUUUCUAACCCCCUUUUUCCCCUGUAAUGCUUGAGGAAAAGGUGGAAAAGUUGAUUUCUUCAGCAUUUCUUCCUUCAGAAGCUCCUUCUCUGGAAUUACUUUCAUUGUUGCAUCAGAGUCCUUCUUUUCUUCACUGAUCUCACUGCCUUUAUCUUCCAUUUCCUUCCCUUUCUUUAUCUCUUCUUCUUUCUCAACAUGUGGCUUGGGUGUUGGCUGCUCAAUUUUCUUACCACUCCUUAGAGUGAUCAAAGCUUUCACAUCUUUCACCUGUGAUGAUUCUCCCUCAAGGCUUUCCACUUCAUGGACACCUUUGGGAUUUUGGUUAGGUUGAGAAGGAAAUCUUCCCUUUUCUUGCAGUGUAUUCAAAUUUGUAAGCCUUGAAAUUGAAUAUUGGAUGUUAUCAAACUUUUGAUUCAUAUCAUUUUGCAUUCCAUCCAUUCUUUUGUUCAACAUACUCUCCAUUCUGUCCAUUCUUUGAUCCACUCUGUCCAUUCUUUGAUCCACUCGAGCAUUGGUGGCUUCUUGCUUUCCCACAAAAUCUCCCACUACCUUGCUGAGAUUAGCUAUUAUUUGUUCAAUACUUGAAGAUUGCUGAGUUGGUGGAUCCGGCUGUUGGUAUUGAGUUGCUCUGGCCUUCCAUGAGAAAUUUGGAUGAUUCCUCCAACUUGAAUUGUAAGUAUUUCCAUAAGGAGCAUUGUUAUUGGGCCUGAAUUGUCCAACAACAUUUGCUUGAUCUCUAUACAUUUCCCUUUCAACUGAAAUUGCAGGGCAUUCCUCUACCAAAUGUUCAAACGAUUGACAAUUGGGACACAACUUCACUUGCACUGGUGCUUCAGCAACAGCUUGCACUUCAUGCAUUCUUUUCAGCUCCAGCUCCUCCAAUCUUCUUGUCAUAGCUGCCAACUUUGCUUUCAUGUCAUCAUCUUCUUUUAAAUUAUACAUCCCAGCCUUUGCAUUGUAAGCAUUCAACUGAGACUUCAUCNNNNNNNNNNNNNNNNNNNNNNNNNNNNNNNNNNNNNNNNNNNNNNNNNNNNNNNNNNNNNNNNNNNNNNNNNNNNNNNNNNNNNNNNNNNNNNNNNNNNCUCUGGAAUGUAUUACAAACAUCUUCAAAUUCCUUGAUGUGUGCAUACGGAUUCUCACUUUCCAUCCCAUGGAAAGUUGGUAGAAGUGGAACAAGAUAUGGUCUGAUCACUAGCUGCUCUGUAGGGGGCACUAUACAUGAUGGUGCACUCAUACGAGGUGGAUGCAUACGGUCCCUCAUUGAUCUGAAUUCAUUGAGAUUGUCUUGACGACCUUGGUGACUAUGCUGAUCUUCAGGUGCAGCCUCCAUGAUAUUCAAGAUUACUUCCAAUUCUCCUCUCUGAGGUGUAUCACACUUAACAAGCCUACCUCCAAUGUCUCGUAUCCACUUGGGCAUACACAACUAGUAUUCAGCUGCAACUAAAAAAAUGAAAACAGAGGACACAAAAACAGAGGACUACAAUAGCAAAAUUAAACUAGACUAAAAUUUAAAAAGAUAAACUUAGAUUAUAAAUAAACAAAGAAAGAAUGAAAAUUAAUAAAGUGAAAGAAACUUUACCAACUUGUGAUGAAAAUCACAAGUGCUCAAAAAUGGUAUCACAAUGAACUUGACACUCAUUCCCCGGCAACGGCGCCAUUUGACUCAUGCUCAAUUGGUGUCUCAGCUGAUUUGUGUUCAGCUGGUGCUCCUUGAUUGAGGAAGUGAUCAACAAAAUUUAUACCUAUAACACCAUACACUAGGGUAGCAAAUACAAAGCUACUAUAGUAUAGUGGCUCUAAGGAUCGUUCACUGGGAAUGAAUAAAUUAACAAGCAGUCAAGGAUACCAAUUCCAAGUGAAUUGGUUUUGUUUCAUUUCACGGUUAGUUUAAGAAAUAAAACACAAAGUUUGAUUGGUAAAGGUUUAGACUUAAACUACCUAACUUAACAGAAGUUUGGAAUAAUUUAGGAAGAAAAACAUUCCUUGGAGAUUUAGGUUCACUGGGGUGGUUCCUCAUGCAAAAGACAUAGCUCCGGUCAGAUGGUUCAUUUCCUCGCAUUAGAGAUUCAACUUAUAGUCAAUUCUCUAACCGGUGAUGUACAGAGACUCCUUCAAUUAGAUUUCACUUUAAUUCUCUCACUGAUACAACUUGCAAUGGUUCAUGCCUCUCACGAGCACUUACCAUUCAAGGUGAUCUUUAACCUUGGACUUCCCUUCACAAACUCGCAAGAGAUAACUAAUGGAUGUCUCCUAGGAGUCCAAAAGCUUACCAAGUGUUGGUAAUUCCAGAAAAUCCUACCUUGAAGUCACCUACCAGAGGCUCGCAAGGGGUAAACUAGUGCAUUUCCAUGGUUGGAAAUCACUUGCCUUACCAAGUGUUGGCCCAGGUGACUCUAAGGUGUUUUAAGUUAACUAAAAACAUUGAAAUCACUAAAGGAUUUCACUUCCUCUUCAUUAAAAACUAAAACCACAAAGCUUUGCAUUUUUGCACUUGGAACCUUCCCCGGCACCCUUAGCUCCAAGGAAUUGGAGGUUUAGUUACUCAUUCUCUGGGGAAAACUCCUCAGAGAAUUCAUAACUUAGAAAUAAAAUGAAAAUACAAAGUGAGAAGGUAAGGCAGUAGAAAGAAAAGACUUUACUUGCUUACCAAAUGGUUUUCAGAAGGAACUCCUCUCUGAGAACAUGCUCCCGAGAGGUAUUUAUAUCAAAGCAAUAUAAAACUAAUUAUUACAUAGAUAUUUGGUCUUUUUACUAACUUAAAAACUAAGGAAUCAUGUAAUUGGUGGUUUACAAGGAGUAUUUUGGAAUUUAGACAACAAAAAUCUAAUGGAAAAUAUCUCCCAAUGUCGGUAGCAAGCUUCGGGAGGCUUCCGGAGCCAUUUCGCAGGAGAAAAGUGAGGUCUGCGAAAUUUCGCAGACACCCAAGAGGGCUGCGAAAUUAUUUCGCAAGACCGAGCUAUCUUCACCAGGCUGCAAAGUUGGCUUCCAUCUUGAAGUUUCCAGCUCCCUUCUCGCGGCAUGGUUCGUGCAUCGUCAGAAGGAGAAACACCUUACUGUACAAAAGUGUUGCGAAAUUCUCGCAACAAAAGGCUGAUUCCGCAACACUUUAGAGUGACUGGCUUGUAAUGGCUGCAACUUCUUCGUUUCAACUCCGAAUCAUGCACCGUUUGAAGCAUUGGAUUGUUGACUUCCUGAGCUUUGAAAUGGUAUAUAGCUUGCAUCAUUUGGACUUCAGAAAGUGCUCCAAAAGUGGCUGCUACGACUGUCAUCAAGAAUAUGCUCCAUGACUGAUCCUCUUUGCUUUUUCUCCUUGCAAUCCGGAUUCACUCUUGGCAAUUGAAUUCUAAGCUUUGCCCAAGAUUCCUCAUAGCUCUCCUCAUUCUUGACUUGCUUUGGUGAUCAAAAUACUAACAAGAACACCAAAACUUACACAAAGUGAUCAAAAUUGCUUUAAAGGAUCCUUAACAUGUCAAUUGAGUUAAAAGGCCUAAACUACUACUCAAAAGUGUUAAAAAGGAUUAAUUAAAGGCUAUCAAAUAGCACUUUUUGAGUAGUAAUCAUAUGCCAAGCCCUCCCUUGGCCUGCACUCCUUAUAACAUGCCUCACCAACUUGUUGUAGCAUCUCUAGGCAACCUACUGCAUGUUGUCUAUGCAACCCAUGUGUGUGUCAAGCCCUCUCUUAAUUAGCCUACACCCCUUAGAACAUGUCUUACCAUCCUGAUGUAGUGUCCUUAAGCAACCUAGUGCAUGCUCUCUAUGCAGCCUUUGAGUGUGUCAAGCUCACUCGUGGCCUACACACCUCACAACAUGCCCUAUCAACUUACUAUGUGCAUUUCUAGGCCCUUGUUACUCCUUGAGCAUGCCAACCAGUCAUACUCAUGUGUUCCAAUCACAUCUCUGCCAAGGCAAGCUACUCAUGCAUCCCUCUUAUUGUUGAUAUGACUCCAUGUUUUGCCCAAACCCUCUUCUUAGUGCAACAACAAGUCAUAACAUUGCACCCAUGACUUUUCAUCUUUGCACAUAAGGCAUUGUGCCAAGCAUUAAAUGUCAUGUUUAAGUCAGCAUCAUUGAUGCCACAUCGCCAUGCCUCACCCAAGUUCAUUUUGGUGUUACAACAAACCAUGACAUUAUGUACAUGGCUCAUCAAGCUACCUCAUUGCGCAAGGCAUUACAUCCUUAUGCUACCAUUAGAAAUGAAGACUAUGUCGCACCUCGUGUCAUUGUGGCCAUGGGUUACACACCACCAUGUGUCAUGAAGCCCAUGCAUGGGUGCUACAAGACUUAUCCCAUGUGUCUUGCUCAUGUAAGCACCUAGGUGUGCCCAUGUCACCUUGUCUUUCUUGAGUUAGGUUCUUCUUCAAAGAAAAAAUACCGACAUGCCAAAAUUCAACCCUUGAAUUUUGGCCAAGUUAGGCUCAUGUCGCUUGUUUCCCUCAAUAGGCUUCAUCUUACCUUACCUUGAUCAUAGGCCACUCAUAGAGCCAAGGUGUCGUCCUAUGAGGCCUUUGUGUCGCAUACUUUGAGUCAAAGGGCUAACAAUAGACCACUAAAAGAUUUGAAAUUUUCAACAUAAACUUAAUGAGCUACCACACAUUGUAACUAUGCCUUGUGUUUCUUUUAAACUAACAUUUAGCAUAUCAUGGUCUUGAUACAAAAAUCCCUCGUCAUUAAGUUAAGAGUUGGUAACAAUGAGGUUCAACAAGGCCUAAUUGAUCUUGUUAGUUUAAUUGACCUGUUUUAGAAGUCAGCAUAAUGUCACAAAAUGCUUCAAAUGAUCCUCCCCAUGGGCUUAUAUAUCGGAGCAGGAAGUUUUUAAGACCCCUGGAGACAUCCACACUUAACUACAAGGUGGAAGAGUGUGGAAGCUUCUAGAGAAGGUUAGAGAUGUCCACACAUCUCCACACUUGGGUAGGAGACCAUUGGAAUAAUACGGGGUGUUCUAAAGUCUUCCAAAGUCAUCUUGUACAUAAAUUAAUGUAGGAGCUUCUAGAUUAUUCUUGAUUUGUAAGGAACUCAACAAGGUUCUAAAGACUUCCUAAGGUGCCUAUAAAUAGGUGAGACCCUCAUUUGGCCAAGGCACCAAGUAAACGAGUUUCCUAAGCACUUAUAAAGCAUCCUUAAGAGCAAUAAAAGCUUCCAUUUUUUUAAGUGUUUUCUACUAUACCUUCUAAAGCUUCCAAGUCGUGUAGAUCUUAACCUAACAAGUUAAGCGUCGGGAGUAAGAUUGACUUAAUAAGAUCAAGUGUCUUGGCUUGUCUUAGUAUCACACGAGCUUAGGGAAAUACUGGGUCCAUAACAAUAAUUACAUGUGAAUAUCAUAGAGGGAAAGGUAACAAUACCCAAUCUAUACCCAUUGGUAGGCUUCAAUGGGAUACCCUGCAAACCAUUAGGUGAAGUCACAUUUCUCGUAAAAUGAGGACCCGUUAUCUUGCACACACGAUUUUCGAUCAUGAAAACAUCAUAAUAGGAAGGUGUUAGAAAAAUUAGGCUAUUAAUCAAAUCUAUGGUAAUCGCCUUAAAGAGAGGGGGGGAGGGGGGUGAAUAAGAUGAUGGUCUCUUUUUGUAAAUUUAAAUUAUGUGAAUGCAAAAGAUAAUUAUAUGCAAAUAUAUAAUAAAACAAUAUAAAAAUAAUUGCAUAUAAAUUAAAAUAAUAGGGAAGAGAGAAUACAAACACAAGAUUUUUAUAGUGGUUUGGCGCAACUCGGCCUAUGUCCACUCUCCUCUAACUUCAAUCCCAAGCUUAAGGCUCCAAUAUUUCAAGGCUUCCAAACCAAACCUUCAAACAAUACAAUUGGAUUAUGGUUCUAGUCCACCAUCUUGGACUUUUGACUUCAAGCACCCUUUACAAUCCUCAAGAGAUACCCACUCUUGAACAACCUCUCAAAAGAUACCCCACACUUGAGAAUUCUAAAUUGAUACCUCACACUUAGAUUCUUCCUCUCAAAGAUAUACAAAUAAUUUCACAAAAUCCUACUACAAAACUUUAGGCUCAAAUGAUGUAAAAAAACUAGGAUUGAAUGAUGCACUAAAGAUAUGCAAGUUUUAGAACAAUUGUGCACUAAAAAACACUCUCCCAAGACUCAAAUAUAUUCAAGAAAGAUUUAGGAAGGUUAAGCUCAUGAAACAAUAAAGAUUGGAGUUUUUUUAUAGAAGAAAACAACCAAACUAGCCGUUGGGGGUUUGACCGAUCGAGUUGGGGGUUGACCGAUUGACUAGCCGUUAGCAUUUAAUGUUUGGCAGGUGACUGUUGGACCUCAACCGCCUCUUGACUGGACCUCAAUCGGUUGAGGCUCAACCUCAAUCGAUUCAGGUUCAACGUUGAUCGAUUGAGGUUUAACUUUGACCAAUUGAACAAUUGUUCUAGAAGAGAGAGAAGGUUUUUUGUACCUCUCGACCAAUUCAGCUGGGGGUCGACCUAUUCCUAGACCGGUUGAGUUAGGGGUCGACCUAUUCCUCGACUGGUUGAGUUAGAGGUCGACUUAUUCCUUGACCGGUUCAAUCGGUUGAGCCAUUUUUGGCUCAACAACCAUUCUCUUCAACUUAAAACCUUUUAAACAAGUUUGGAAAACAUUUGACACAAGGUUUUAGUUGAAAACAUGAAAUCAUCCAAUUUUAAAGGAUUUAAAACGAAAUAACUCUUGGAUGAUUUUGGUGCAUAAGUAAAGAAUGUAAUGCAUGAAAAAAACCUAAUGCACCAACAACCUUACAAAGAGAUCUUAUGAAGCUUGGGUCUUAAAAAGAACUUCUCUUUGAAGUCUUCUGACUGAACUUCUCUAUUGUACCAAAAUACUUAGUCUUUUUAUGUAGUAAUUUUGGUCAAGAAAAACUAGAAAAAGAGUCACUACGAAUUUUGUAGUAUUCCGGGUAUCGUUCUCAAUGACUGGCUUAUGGAAAUUGUCAACACUAGAAUAAUUGAAUUGCUUUCUUUUAAAUCUUAAAGUGAAAAACAAUAUGAGAAUAAUGUGAAACUAAGUAAAAGAAAUUAAAUUAAUAACAAAAUGGAUAUUGAUUUUAAAUUCGAUUGAUUUAAGUUUGGGGUUUUCCACAAUCCAACCUAGGGUAUAGAAAUUAGAGAAAACAAGGGUCUUUUAAGUAAUAUGAUCUUAGGGUUUUGGGAUCCUUAGCUGCUCGCGAUCAAAUUGAGUUCUAUAACUCAAAAUUGCAUUCGAAACCUAAUUUUUCAUUUUUAAAACAGAUUUCUACAACCAUCAAAUGAAUGAAAUUGAUUACCAAUUUAAGAUUUGACUUUUUAACCCUUCCUAGUCCUUAUAGUUUUGUUUUGGGGCAAAUAACGAUAGGGAAGAUGAGGAUAACUAAUGAUCAAGAAUUACCAAGAAUCACUAGUAUCAGGUAAUAACCUACCGUAUCAUUCCCUAAACGAACUCACAAGUAUAGGAUUAAAAAAAAUGAUAAAUUGUCACCCAACCAAUAAUUAAUCUCAUUGUUAUAAUAAUUAACCCAUUGUCCCUAUAAGUUUUCUACCCCUUAGGUUUUCAUACUUUAAGCCCGAAGUUGGUUCUUAGCCUCUCAUGGGGGUGAUGUCACAUUCACAAUCCAUAAUAGGGUAAAAAUCCAUAAUUGAAUCAAAAGAACUUAAACAAUAUUUUUAAUAAAGAAUAAAAAGAAAACAAACAAAAGUUUUCAUCUUCUUUCAUCUUCAAUGUCAAACUCUCCGGAAAAAAAAUUCAAGAUCCCUAAAACUUAGAAUUAAGAAAGUUUAUAUAAUAUCAUCAAUUACCUAACAUGUGACACACUCUCAUUGACCACUUAUUACAAAAUAAUUUCCUAAAAAUGAUUAAAAAAAUAAUAAAAUUGUGAUUUCUAGCCGUGUAGGGUCCACUUAGGGCAGAUGGAGUACCCUAUAUGCAAUUCCCGAGGUAGAGGAGGCGAAACAUCAAAGUGGUAGUGGGUGAAUUCGAAAUUGGUAUCAUUUCGAAGUGAAUUUCGAAUUUACAAGUUGGAUUUCGAAUUCAUAAGUUGGAUUUCGAAAUCAUUUCGAAAUGACCCUUCAGCUUGGUGCAGUUAUCUUCCAAUGGUCAUAACUUCUUCAUUUCAGCUCCAAUUUGCACAUCAUUUGAAGCGUUGAACUUUUGACUUCCCGAGAUUCAAAAUGAUAUAUAGUAUAUAUAAAAUAGACUCUGGUAAGUACUCUAAAUUUAUCCUCAAAUUCAAAGUGUAUAUUACUACCAGAUUUUUGAGUUCUAAAUUUCCAUGUUGCCAUGUUUUCUUGCUUUCUUUCUUACUUCAUAAUGGUCAUUUCUCAUCUUUUAAACUCAUGAUAUCCUCAUCUUGCCUUUCCUUAUGGUCCAUGAGUCUUGACUCACUUAUUUCCUCAUUUACCCCUUUCUUAAUCUUUCAAAAUCUAAAGUGAUUCAACUUGCACCAUUUUCUUCCCUUGAACCUGAGAUAAGUUUUCAAAGUACAAAUUAAACUCAUAGCUAGGGUCUUAGCAUUGAUUUAGGUCAAAUUAUGUGAUUUGAAUGUCCUUUGGUGCACAAAUCAUAUCGAAUAUGUGUCAUUAGAGCAUAUAUUUUGGCUCUAAUCAUCUUUUUUUUCUUAUUGAUUUCUCUUUGGCUUAAUUUUGUCUUUAUGAUUGCCACUUUGGAAAUCUUUUUGCCUAAUCACACUUGAAAUAUAAUAUUAGUUACAAACCUUGUUUUGUUAUCAUCAAAACUGAAAUUAACCAAACCUUGGUUUCACAGAAAGCUUCAUAGCAUGUAGACCACCUUGUCAACCUAUAAUCAAGCCAUUAAUUUCCCUACAUACACCGUAAAGGAUAUAGGAAAUAUACGACAACCAAGCCACAAUGCAUAUGUAUUGUCAUAUCACCACUAAUAAUUCUAAAGGCUCUAAGAGUUAAGAAACUUAGGAAGUUACCAGUUGUGGAACCCCUAGAGUCUUUAGCACUAAUGGGAGAAAGGUGCAAGAAAAGUAGUUAUGAUUUGUUCCCUCUUAUCGUGCCAUGAGAAAACACAAAUGUGGCACUUGCUCAAGGAGUUCAAUGAUGUGUCACUUGAGGCCCCUUAUGAUAUGCUAGGGAUAGAUUAUGAGUUGCCUGUCAUCACUUGAAUGUAUUACGACUAGAUGAUUAAUUAUGUAAAAACCACUAAAAUUCACAUGUGAGAGACAUCAAGUAGUUAACAAAUAAGUGUUAGGGCUCUUACAAGCUAGUUUUAUACACGAGGUAUUAUAUUCAAAGUGGUUGGUGAACAUGGUAGUAGUGCCCAAAAAGAAUGAAAAAUGGUGAGUAUGUGUGUACUACACUAACCUAAAGACUGCUUGCCAAAGGACAGUUGCCCUCUCUCAUGCAUAUAUCAAUAGUAGUGCACCAAUUAUUGACAUUCAUCAAUACUUAUUUGGGAUAUAAUCAGAUUUGGAUGGACACAAGUGAUAAAGAGAAAACUGCUUUCAUAACAACAAAAGACGCAUUUUGUUUUAAAGUUAUGUCAUUUGGCAUAAGGAAUGCAAAUGCCACCUAUUGGACGAUGGUUAAACAACUCUGUUGGCAAUAGUUAGGUUAGACUAUGAAAGUAUACAUAGACAAAUAAUCAAAAGCAAUAACAUUAGAGACCACUUCUAAUACCUGGUAAUGUCCUAUAUUUUACAAGAGUAGUAAAUGAAGCUCAACCCGGCUAAAUGCACCUUCAAGGUAGGGUCCAAAAUGUUUUGAGGGUAUAAAAGUAAAGCCGAACUAACCAAAUAAGAAUUGUCCUUGAGAUGUCGAUGCCCCACAUCAUAGGGGCGCCACAAGGCUCACUAGGAAGCUCGUGGCAUUAAGCAUAUUCAUAGUAAGGACAAUCGAUUAAUGGAAACCCUUUUUAAGGUAAGGAUAGGGGGCAUAUGAAAAAGCAUAUGAACAACCAAAGAAAUGCGUCAUCCAUCCAUCGAUUCUAGCUAAACCCAAGUGAGGUCGUAUUGCUAUACCUAGAGGAUUGCUCAAUUCUGAACAGUAGAAAAGGGAGGAAUGUGGAGGGGCUUUCCCGUUCAACAGCAACAUGUGGGCCUGUUCAACAGCACCAACUGGCCUGAGGAGACCAUUCGAACCCCCUCGCCAUCAUAAGCAAAUAAAUCAGAACUUGAUCACAGCAACCGACGGUCAGUUGCACUAAUUAUGAAUUUAAUGUGCAUUAAUUGCAUACAAUGUGGCACCGUAAUCUUGCCCUUUCCAUUGACCAUACCGUCAUGUGGGAAAUCCAACUGCUCUCAUGGUCAGUACGUAAUAACCUUCUACUGACUUGAACAUUGAAGCCCUCGCUGAACAGCAAGGGGAACGAUACUAACAAUUUUACAUAUGAUAUAUAAAAUAUAUGUGCAUAGUGUGGCAUUUGCAAUCAAUGCACUUUGAGAUGGCCCAACUUUAGUUUAUAGAAGCCACAUUAACUUUUACUUUAAUUUGGGACAUACCGUCCUAUAAUCAGUCAUUGAGGGAGAAAAAUUGUGACCAAGCAACAGGAUUACUCCUCCAGAAGCAUCCUCCAUCGUGAGUUUCCUAAACGUUAUAUAUCUCAAGCUGCAAUCCAAUAUUUGGAUGGCCUCAAAUAAAAGCAAAUCAAGGCAUGCAAAGAUUGGGACUUGCCCGAUUGGAUAUGGCCAUCAACCUUGUUUGAUUUAAUUAGCAAAUCAUUAGUUACUCAAACUAUAAAUUAGAUGGAGCCCUCAAUUUUGAGGUGUAUUUCAAUCAAGAAAUUUUAGAAUAUUAAUAGAGACAGAUCUUAGUGUUAGAGAGAAUUCUUGCCCAAUCACUAUGGGGUUUAAUGAGUUGAAUAAAUUAGGAUAUCUAUGAGUAGACAGCAUGUCCCCAGAAGCCUUAGUGCCCAAGUUAAAGACAAGAAACAACUAGGAAUAUACCUAAGAGAAGCUCACCUUUUAAAAGGGCCCUUUGUUCCAUUAAGGGGUAAAGAAUUAAUACUCUUAUAUACUAAUUCUCUCCACUAAACUCAUGAACAAGACCCCUGAAAUUUUGUUCUUUACUUUUACAAAAUCUUCUAAAUUACUUUGAAUUAUGUAGAUGAUUAAUUAUAUGCAAUAUUUUAAAACAACAUUAUUUUAAUAAUUCUUUUAGAAAGUAUAAUUAAGCCAUUACGUGUUUGUAGGGGCAUGUGGCUAGGAUUUGGCCACCUUUAUAUUGUUAAUAUUUUUGAGAGAAUAUGUUUGGGCUUUUCCUUAUAAAUUAAGAGUUUUUAGUAUGAAUUAGACACUAAAAUACAAGCCUUAUGAACUUUUAAUGCAAAGAGCAUCACAAAUGAUUCCUCGUCCUACAUAAAAUAGGUUGAAAAUAAGAACCAAUACUCAUCCCCUUAACAUACCCUAUAGAUUUUAAUUUGUUUCAUAAAUUUAAAAAAAUAUAGAUCUAAUUUUCAUCUUCUAAUUUAUGAAAGGUCAAAUAUACUUAAUUUCAUUGACAAAACAAUUUUAAGUCAAAUAUAUCUAUUUAUGUUAAUCAAUAAAUGAUAGAAAUGAAAUAUUCAUGAAUAUUUAAAAAAUGAUAUAUACAUAUAUAUAGACAGAUAGAUAGUUCAUUUCUAAUAUAAAUAUAUUUUGAUUUAACUUAUAGCGUUAGAAAAUCACCUACAGCAUUUUCUAAAGAGAUGGUUUUCAUUUUGAGUAGAAAUAUGUUUUUCUUAAUUAAUAAUUAAACCAUGAGUAAGAUUUAAGAGUUUGGAAGCGAGAAGACAUGGUAGCCAUUCUGAUAAAAAGAAAAGGGCCAAUUAGAGAAUUAAAAGGGGAGAGGUGUAAUGAAAGCAAUUAAAAUUCAAAGCGGCCAACUUUUUCUAGAGUCUUGCUUUGCUUUGUGUAAGAGAGGGUCGUUAGGAGGAAACUCAAUUGUGAGCAACAAGAAAAAAAUGCCAUAUUCUAAAGAAGCUCUUGCUAGGCUGUUCUACAAUGUCUCCAGUUCUUUACAGCUUCUCUUCCUCUUCUUCUUCUUCUCCUCCAUUUUGCUUGCAAAGCUCCUCCACUUCCUCUGCAACCACCCAAUAUUCCAAAGGUCUACACCAUCUCUCUCUUGGUCUUUCUCUUGAUUAAUUUGCCAUAUAGACACAUAAAGAUGAUACUGUGUUUUAACUUUUCUUUUGUUCUUUCGCAGGACCCAACAUGGAUCUGCAGUUGGAUUGUUUUUGGACGACGAAGAAGAGGAGGACAUAUAUUUUCAUGAGGAGGAGUGCAUGGAGAAAGAUGAUCACCUGGUGGCCGACAUAGUUGAUGGUGGAGAAUCACUUCUGUUUUUGCCUGUCAACCGUCCUGUGAAGGAUCAAGAUCUUGAGCAUCAUGAAGAAACCAUAAGCAGUAGUACUACUCCUCGUGGCGAUUACAACUACUUCUUCCACCAAGAAGAGUCAAGUGAUGAUCAUAACUCACUGGUUCAAGAAUCAGAAGUACAUGAUGACAAGGAAGAUGAGGCUGAAGAAGAGAUCCCAACAUCAGAUACUGAUGCUGAUGCGGUAUACAAUUUUGGCCCCAAUGAAGGUGACCCCACCUCGCCGAUAACCAUCAAUCUAACCAAAAGUGGCUUGGUGGCCGAUGACGAAACCCAUGACGGUAUUUGCAUUAUAUUUGGCAUCCUUAGCCUUAUACCAUUAGUUAUAGUGCUUUAAUUUUAGUACUGGCACUCCACCUGAAGUUGCUUAUUCCUUUGUAGAGAAACGCGACGAGGAAGAUUCCAAAGGUGGUAAGGAUAAAAUUGAAGAUGGGAAGGUGGAAGAGACUACAAAUUUCACUAAAGAUGAAAAGUUCUUAAUUUUUGCGCCCCCUCAAUCGGAGGCUAAGAAGUUUCAUGUCCAAGAAAAGGAUAAUGAAGAGACUUGUGGCGACUCGUAUACCGUUGGAUCUACUUCUAAGAGCUCGUCUGAAUGGAGAAGUUCCAUUAAUUUCAGGGAUUCAGGGACAGAAGAUCCAUUUUCGUCCUCUUCCCGGAGGAGUUGCCCCAAGUGGGAAUCUUACACUGUGUUUCAGAAGUAUGAUGAAGAGAUGACAUUCUUAGAUAGGAUCAGCGCCCAAAAGCUUCAGGAAACAGGUAAUUUUCACUUUACAUAUUUAUUUAUUUUACAUUAUGAUCGUACCAUUUUAUAAAACAACUUAGAAUCUAUUUGGUAGUGAUUUUAAGAAGCACUUUUAAAGUUUUUAAUACUUAAAAAUUUUCAUCAUUCAAAAUGUUAAAAAUGUUAUAAACGCUUUCUAAAAUUACUUCCAAAUCCACUCUUAAUUUACAUAGCUACAUACAGAGUCUCUUAGGUCAAUCCAAGUCUGUCCAAAGUCAAUCUCAGGGAGGAUUGCUCAUAAAUUGGGAACAAUCAACAAGAGAUCAUCAGAUACCCAUCAGAACCCGUAUCAUGAACUAGAAGCUGCUUAUGUAGCACAAAUUUGCUUAACAUGGGAAGCUCUUAAUUGGAACUACAAGAACUUUCAGCGCCUGAGAGCUUCGCGUCGUGAAUGUGACCCCGGCAGUCCUGCUCAUAUUGCCCAGCAGUUUCAGCAAUUCCAAGUGCUUUUACAGCGGUACAUUGAGAAUGAGCCCUAUGAGCAUGGCAAGAGACCUGAGAUUUAUGCUAGGAUGAGAAUUUUGGCACCAAAGCUGCUCCAAGUGCCAGAAUAUCGAGGUACUCAUAAGACAAAGUGCUUUUAGUUUCUCGAGAUAACUUCAAUUUUCUUUUUGUUAACAAUAUAUCUGUAUAUUAAUUGGUUUUUAAAGAUUCUGAAGAUGAUCAAAAGGAUGAAAGUCUGAAGUCAAGAAUUUCGUCAGAUUCAUUUCUUAUUAUAUUAGAAGAGGGAAUAAGAACAUUCAUGAAUUUUCUCAAGGGGGAUAGGGAGAAACCUUGCCAGAUCAUAGCAGCUUUGUUCAAGAGGAACCGAAAAGGUUUGGUUGAUCCAACUCUUCUACAUCUGAUGAAGAAAGCAAAUCAGAAGGUACAAAUUAAUGGUAUUUGCUUUUGAGCCAUUCAAAAUAUCUACAUUAUUUUCUAAACUUACAGUUCGGUGUUAAAAUUCAAUCUGCAGAAGAAGUUAAGGCUCAAAGAUCUCCGCAGAACUGGCAAGUGCUUAAGGAAAAGAAGGUUAAAGGAGGAGGAAGAAAUGGAGAUUCUGAUGGGACUGAUAGACAUAAAAGUGGUGUCUAGGGUUUUGAGAAUGAGUGACAUAACAGAAGAGCAAUUACACUGGUGUGAAGAAAAGAUGAGCAAAGUGAGAGUUUUGGAAGGGAAGCUGCAAAGAGAUUCCUCACCACUUUUCUUCCCUGCACACUGACCCCACCAUAGAUUGGGUAUUUGUUGCUUGAUGACUAGACCAUGAAUGUGCGGUGACUGCAUGCAGAUGAAUAUCCUAAGGCAGACACACCCUUUUGUAAAUACUGUAAAGAAAAAUGAGAGGAAGGGGACCCACAAAUCAAAGCCAUGACAUGUGGGUGACAUAGAUUUUGAAGAUAUGGAAUCCAUGAAAGAAAAGAUGGGUUGGCUCUCUGAUUUCAUGAACAUUGAAAGUGAAAAGAGCUGGGACAAAGCAAGGAACACGAAGAUAGAGACGAGGUAGCUUUAGUUUGCUUUAUCUUUUGAAUUAGGGUUUAUCUAUAAGGGUUUUGAGCUGAAUCAAAAGAGAGAGAUUUGGGCAAAGCUGCUGCUACACAUGCAGUGGAAUAAAAAGGUGGCACAUGGUACACUCAAAGGGUGGGAGCCCGAGCUUCAUUUGGUACCACUUUCUUUGGGGAAAAGAUGAAUAAAUAAAUAAUCAACCAUGUAAGGUGUAUUCAGACUUCAGAGAGUUGCGUCCCUCUCAUGAUUUCUAUAAAAAGUUAAUCUUGUAGUUGGGUUAUCAUGACCUUCAUUGACUUCCAUCAUCAUUAAUAAUCUUUGGAAGAUAGUCUAUGAUUUAUUUCAUGAGCACUCUCUGCAACAUUCCAUUUAUUUGAUUUAUAUAUAACUCAUACAAUAAAAAGAUCAAUGUUAUACUAAUAUGUACUCAAUAUUGACACCUUCUAUUAAAUAAGAUUACUAUUUCAUAUCUUAGGUAAUAUGUCUACAUUCAUACAUCAAACUUAUUUGGACUUUAGUCAUAACCAAAGUUAAUUAGCUCAAUGAACCAUUUUCAGCCAUUACCAAAUUAUUUCCUAUGGUCAUGUCUGGACGUUGGAAUGGAGAUUUUAGAAUGGAAAUAGGAAUCAAAAAUUCAUUAGUGUGGAAAUUAAAUUCCACUCUCAUUAAUUAGGAUUUUGAUUCUUUUUUUUCAUAUGGUGUAUGUAUUAAGAUUCACCUUAGAGAUGACAACGAGACCGUUUGAGACUCUCACCCCUAUCCCAACCUCAUUCUGUUUAUUUAUACAUAUUUCCAACUUCUCAAAAUAUAUAUAUACAUAUUUAAAUGACAGGAUUUAUAUAGAAAAUUCUCAUACCCAUUUUGCCUACCCCAUUUAAUUUUUUAAAAUUUUUUGUUUGUAAAAUUUAAAUUUUAUUAAAAAUAAAUAUAAAUUAUAAAUAAAGAAAUAUUAUAAACAAUUAUAAUUUAUUUUUAUGAAAGUAAUAUUUUAUUUAUGUUAAAAAGUUGCAAGAGAAAUCAACAAAAAUAAUUUUUUAUUUAAAAUUAUGUGUAAUCAGGAUGGAGCGAGACAAAAUCAUACCCAAACCAUCACGAGUUUUUAAAAAGUUUUCAAACUCAAUCUCAAUUGGUUUAUCUUUAUCUCAGACCCUUCCCAUUAGGGGCGGGGAAGUACCUAAAAAAGGGCCCAUUGCCAUCCCUAAUUCGCCUCCAUUCUCAUCCUAUUUCCAUUUAUAUUCACACAUAUUAAAAGCACACUAAAUUCUAUACCAUUUUUUUAUUAUUAGAAGGAUUUAUCAUAGGCUUUUCCAGGUAAUAGAAAUUGUGAGUCAGUUCAAAGGAAUGCAUCCCUUGAUUCCCAAGCUACUAAGUAAUAGGAUUCAGAAAUUCAUGUCAUUGGAUUUCACUAGGAAACUUCGACUAAUUUUCUGUUCUAUUAUUUAAAUGCUAAAGAGAUAAGUUUUGAGACAUGACUCGGGUGGCAAGACGUAGACUAGAAGUGAGGAAAUUUCAAAUAAGAUCUAAUAAAAAAAAAAGUCUCAUGGUUGGGCCUCUGCGUCAUCAAAAACAGAAAAUCCCACCUAAUUUCAACUACUAGACAUUUCAAAAUUAAUUUCAAUCAUUAAAUAAGUAAAAAAAAAAAAAAAAACUUAUCAUAGAUUAACAAAAAAGAAUUGUAUUCAUGUUCUGCAUUCCUCCUAUUAUAGCAGAGCCCAUAUCAAUUGGGCUUUGAUUUUGUUUUGGGCCUAAAAGGGAGCCCAGUUUUAAAUCAACCCAGUCAAAGGGAGACUUAUGUAUGAAAUUUGGAAAUUGGAUUAUGAAAUUACGUAACAUAAUUUUUAUGAAUUGGAUCAAUUGAAUGAAUGUGAGUAAAGGGAUCCAUGGAUGAAGAUAGAAAAGUAGAUUUCUACUCGUAACUAAAUCUUCAAUUUUAAGUUUAUUUGUAUUUUGUAAAGGGGCGAUUGAAGCAAACUAGCUAAUAAAGGAUGUCUUUAGUUUACUAGAGACAUCGAAAUAUUGUUUUACCUUUAUGGAAACAAUAUGUUUUUCCUCAAGAUUCUCUCAAAUUGAAAUAGAGAACAAAGCAACCAGAAAGAUUCUUAUAAUCAUCCUGUUCUAGAGGGAUCAUCUAGAAAACCAAUCGUUUCGAAUAUAUUCAAGCAGAAAAAAUGACAUAGAUGUUAUGAAUCGAUUUUUUUUUUUUUCAUUUCAUUGAUGUCUUAAAUCUGGAAAUUUAUCCAUCCUCCAUAAAGGAGCCGAAUGAAACCAAAGUUUUAUAGAUGGGUCUAUGCGGUUAACUGAGGAAGGAACCUUUGAGUGCACGUGACAGAGUUUGUUUGGUGAUGGGCAAAUUAUACAAUUGAUUACGACAUUUGACAUUUGGGGUUUCCCGAAAUGGAUGCUAUCCAAUUGCACAAAUUGGAUAAUACACGGCUGAUGGGCGUUGCCGUUCCGCUCCACUCUUUCUUCUCCAUUCAAAGCCUAUCCAUAUGAUAAUUCAAUACAGGAACCGACCAACAACCCAAGCAUCAUGUCGGUAUCUUUGCUUCCAAGCAAAAUAAUUAUCAUCAGACAUAGCUUUACUUAAAUUUUUUAACCAAAAAAAAAAAAAAAAUUAUUGUAUGGUAGUUAAAAAAGGUUAACUUCUUUGGAUGAGCCAACAUUUAUAUCAUCUCUCACCAACUUUAAGUGAGCCAAGAGGCCCUUUUCCCAUGUGAGCUAUUAAUGAAAGGAAAAUGCUAUGGUACCACAAUGGUACCUCUCAUAGUGAUACCUAAGAAAUUAGGAAUUCCUUGUAUAUGAUAAGAUCAAAUAAUGAAAGGACGGAUGAAUAAAACUUUUUAUAAAGAUAUAAACAAAAAAAACCAAAGAUGUUUAUUAAAAUCAAGCCUCCACCUCGGGCGAAACCAUCCAACCUGAUGACUCAGAUAAGAAGAAAUAAAACAUGUCCGACAAAAAGUUAAACAUCACAAACCUAGAAUAAAGAGAAAACCUAUAAAAAGUAAAAAUCAUCUUCUUAGUACCCUUAAAAACCAUAAUGUAAUUGAUGAAAUUUAAAAACAUAUAAAUGAUUUGACAUAAUUGAUGGUAGAUUUUCGAUAAAUACUAAAAAAAGCAUAUUUCGAUACUACAAGUAUAUUAAGACAUUAACGAAAUAAUCAUCUUUUCCUCUUAUUUGUGGAUACCCAUCUUUUCAUUUCUCUGAUCUUAGAUGGGCAACCAUUCAUUUGCUAAGGAUUAGGUCCCUUUCAAGAUGGGAAAGCUCUUAUUUCACUCCUGGAAAAACACAUACUGGGAAUUCAAAGCAGCUUAAUUAUAGAAGGAAAAACAGCCUGUAAAGCCAAGCACUAGCAUAUAGUUGUUUUCAGAGGAAGAAAAGAGAGAGAGAGAGAGAGAGAAACAUGAUGGGUAUGUUCAAUUGAAACUGAACAAACAGAGACAACAAGAAGAAAGCAGAGAAAAGCCAAAUGCAAAAGCCUUGGUUUUUCAUAGCUCAGUGACUGACUCUACAAGGACACUUUCAAGAAUGGCGUGCUGAUGCCCAUCUGGUCUUCUACCCAACCUUGUGGUGAUUGAUGUGGAAUCCACCCACCAUUUUUGUUAAUAGAUGUCAUAAUUGUUUCUUUUCUGUUGGGUUUUUCAUCUUAAUUUACAAUGGUAAAUUUUUUUUUUUUCCCUCUAUGUAUACCAUUUUUCACUUUUAGGACAUAGGAUUCUUUGACAAGUACUUCCACAAAGGUUUGAGGUAUGUGAUUACUUUAACUCAUUGUGAUAGAUCCCAGCAUAUCUCAGUUUUGAUUGGUGUUUCUCUACCUAAGAGACAACAGCAGACAAGUCUUUUCCAUAUGGAACAGAUGAAAAUUUUCUUUUUCUCCAAACAGGUACGGUCUUUCUAUGUAGUAUUUUUCAAAGUAAUUUUUUAUUUUUAAAAAUAAAUUUUAUCCUAUACUGUAAUUGUUUUUCAUACUAAAAAGUAAAAACAGGUCUAAUAACUUUUCAGUAGAAGAUAGUUUUCUGAAAUUUUGUUUUGAAAGUAAGAUAUUUUCUAAGAAUGUGUUUUAAUUACUUUCCAUCUUUUUCACUUUUUUUUUUUAAUGCGUAAGGGGUAUUUUUAAAAAUAAUUAUACAAAUAUUAAGAGUAAUUGAAAAUGAAAUAUUAUGAAUAAAAAUUCUUUAAAAAAAAUAUUUGAAAACUCAAAAAAUUAAAUUAACAACAUUUCAAGUUUUUAAAUAAAUUUUUGUUUUAUAAAAUGUGAAAAAACUAUUUUUUGAAAUUGUUUUUAUUACAUGUUGCAUUUAAAACAUUGUCAAACAUUGUCAAACAUUGUAUGAAGUUUUGUCUAUAAGACAUUUUUUUUAUUAAUUUUUGUAAAAAAUAUCAAGUAUUCAAACUUUCGAUAAAAAAAAACCAAUUACGAUUUAGGUAAUUUUACUAGAUUUAUUUACUAUGCUCAACUUUUUCAUUAUAAUCCCUUAAUCUUUUAAAUAUUACCUUUUUUUAUAAACCAUUUAAGGGUAUGCUUGAUUCAAUAUAUUUUUUUAUUUGAUUUUAUUAUAAAUAAAAAAAAUAUAAAUGAAAUUAGAAUAAUAUAUAAAAAUAAUUUACUGUCUUUAAAAAAAAAUUCUUUUUUUUUUUUCUGCCCAAAAACAUAAUUUAGUAAAAGUUUUAGAAAGGGUUGCAAAUUGAGAAGGGUCAUUCUGUAAAGUAACGAAAAGGGGUUGGAGUGGCAUGUGGAGGAAUCAGUACCCAAAAAUUUAAAAAUAAAAAGAUAAAAAAAUAAAAAAUAAAAGUAGUAGAUCCAUAUGCGGGGCAAGUGGCGUAGUUGCAUGGCCCAUUCCCAAUAUAUUUGUCUCUUUCGCUUUGGACUCGAAUCUACGCACGCUCUCCAUUCACCCCACGCUCCUUUCCGGUUUCCGCCUCUAUUAAAUAAGAUGCUCCUCUUGGAAUAUUUUUUUCCAUUUUCUUUUUUUCUUUUUUUAUUCCCCUUUAAAAAAAUGGUGUGAUGUCAGCAAGUGUAUCCACGUCAUUUAAUUUUUUAAAAAUUUUAGUUUAAGUAGAUUGGAAUAUUUCCUUCAUUUUUUUUUACCUUGAAAUAUCUUUUACAAAAAUAUUUUGAAGUUUUAAUAGAAAAAUUAUAUGUAAUUAAGAUAGUAUGAUUAAUUUUUUUAAAUAAAAAAUCAACAAAAAGACUAAGACACGUGUGGAUGACAUCUUGUGAAUAACAUUCAAGGAAAUAAAUGGAGAAAAAAGAGAAGAAAAUCGUUUUUUUUCUUUCCUUUUUAACUUUAUUUUAUACUGAAAUUAAUAAUAAAAGUUUUAAAUUGUUAAUAAAUUAUUUAUGGGAAAAAUGUAAAGUAAAUAAAUUAUUUAGAUAUGAUUUUUUUUUAUAAAGAUUAAAUAAUAUAAUAUAUAUAAUUUUUUAACUUGAUUAUAAUUAGAUUUAAUUUUUUUAUUGAAACACCAAAGAUAAGGAAGAAAUGGAAUUCAAAUAGAAUUAAAUGUAUUUAUAAAUUAAACAAAUAUUAAAAGAAUAAAAAUAAUAAUAUUUUUAUAUAAAUAUAAUGAUUCAAUUAAAAUAUACUAUUUUUUAAAAUUGAUUAAAAAUUAAAGUAUAAAAAAGUUUUUAUUAACUAAAUUUUGAAAUAAGAUAAGUCUUUUAAAAAAAAAAUUCAAAAACCCUUUUUCUUUUAUUUAGGGUAAAAUCUUAAAAAAAAUCAUAUUGAAUUUCAAUCAUUGAAAAUUAAUUAAUUUAAUGAUUGAAAAAAUGGAAAAAAUGUAAAAUAUUAAUUUAAGUUUGAUGGACCAAAUGGAGGGUGGCUACCACGUCCUAUGAACCUUCCUUUAGUAAAUGGAAUUUUUGGUCUCAUCCUUGUCUUUUACAAGGAUGACGUGGAGAAAACUGAUUGGUGGUGGAGCAAAAAGCCCAAAGUUGCGGACCUCACAUGAUGAUCCCCUCGUGUGGACCGAAUCGCUGCGUUGUAUCGCAGAAGGGACGAGGACAAGCCGAACACGAAUCUCCACGACCAAAAGGCAUAAAUCAACGGUGAUUAGAUCGCAUCAUAUAAUAUAUGCAUCAACACAGAAACAUUCCCCAAAUGCCUCUCUCUUUCUCUCUCUAGUUUCUCUGUCUAUGAAUAUUCAGCAAACUUAACUCUUUAUCUUCCUUUUCCAUCCUCUCCUCCGUCGCUCUCUCUGGUUGCUCCAUCCUCUGUUUGGAGGACCUUGACCCACCUCCGCAGGCCCAGCUCAGGUCACUUCUCUCUCUGGAUUCUUUUAUUUCAUGGGUUUGUUUAUGUGUUGGUUUGAUUGGAUCUGAAACCCCCCUCGUUUGAUCUGUGUGUAUCAGGUGGCGUUGCCCAGAUCUUUGAUUUGUGGAGGAUGAUGAAGGGUUGUGCCAUGGAGCAGAGCAGUACGUACGCGGCCUGUGAGGAGAUGAUCAUGAUGAUGGGUUCCGUCUCCGUCGUUUGCCCCAAGCCUCGUCGCCUUGGCCUCUUCAACAACGACCACAUCCCACCCCGGAGAUGGCACAUGCAGUAUGUUUUCCUUUUUUUUUCUUUUGCCGAGAAAUUCUUUGUUUUCUCCGGAGAAAAUACCCUUUUAGUGAUUGGAUUAAUUAAUUUUAGUUUUUCUUGUUUGCCGAACACCAGUCAUGAUGAUUCCAAGGAUGGGUCGGAGCUUCUUGACAUCAUUCUCGCCAAGGUAUUGUUCUGUUCCACUUCUCUUUUGUGGGUUCCGUUCAACGAUGAUGUCUCUAUUCUCACUACGAUUCUUCUUCUCAUUACAGGGAUCCGAAAGAUCGGGCCACCAGGUGGCUUCAUCUCCACCAUAUUUUUGUGGGUCACCGCCGAGCAGAGCUUCGAAUCCCGUAAUCCAAGACGCCCAAUUCGGGAACGAAAAGGUCACACCCUUCUCUCGGGCGCCGUCACCAGCCCGCAAACCCGCUGGAGGAGGAGGGGGAGGAGGAGGAGGUGGGGCCGGUGGUGUGAGAAUGAUGAAAUUCGGAUCCAAGCCGGCGGCGGUGAGGAUUGAAGGGUUCGACUGCCUGGGCAGAGAUGGGCAAAGCCGCAGCAUAUCAGCCGUGGCAUAGGCCCCCCUGAAACCAAAGUUUUGGAAAAUGCAGAGGAACUAAUGGUAGAAAUUAUGUGUAUGUAUAUACAGUUGAAUUGAAUUGGUUUUGAAGACAUAUAUAUAUAAUAUAAAUAUUUAUAUAUAUAUUUGUGGAAUAUUGAGUUGAUGAAAGAGAGAGAGGAGUGUUAAUUUUGAAGAAUAAGGAGAUAGGGAGGAAAGGGAGAGACUAAGAGGUCUUUCCCUUACUAGGGUUUUGAUUGGAGUCUGGUGGAGAGAGAAAGAGCCUGCCCUCUGUCUCUUUCUCUGUCUUUGUUGUGUGUGUCUGUAAUUUUACUCACUCUGGUCCUUCAUUGUAAUUGUAAUUUGAGGUGAAGGGGGAAGGAGAAUGGAGAUGAAGCUGGGUCUUCUUGUAAUUUUGCUACUUUAUUCCGGGGUCUUUUGGACCUUAAAUAAUUCUGUAAAGAAGCACGUGCUGUGCCUAUUGUAAAUAUUUUAUAUAUUUAUUUUAUUUUGGUGGGUGUUAGGUUAUUAUGAAUUUGACUUUUAUUUUCAAAUAACAAAUUUGAUUUCGUGUCUUUGAAAAGUGGAGCAAAUAUGACAUCAUGGCAGAUUUGGGAAAUUAAAGAAAUUGAAUGAUAAAAAUAAUAUUAUUUGCAUGCCUCAGGGCAAAGCCGCCUCCUGUGGAGGUUAGACUUGGGACAGGGAGUGGAAGACAAAAUAAUUGGAAGGAUGAUGAAUUGUCCACUGUAGUGUCUACAGUAUACAGGUGGCCUUGAGUUGGACUUAAGCUUUAAAGAUGACAGCUGCUGAUCUCACCAACUCCCUACUUUUCGCGCUUGAAUUCUCUCUCAUUCUUCAUUGCUUCCUUCCUACCUCUCAUCCUCUGCCCCUGCUUUCUGCUUAGUUCUUUUCUUUAAAUUCAAGUCACCGCGGUUCGCUCUCUCUCUCUCUCUCUCUAUUUUCGCCUUUUCCCUAGAGCGUUUGGCUACGGCAAAAAAGACGUAUCCAUUGCAAUGAACGGCAUGGGCUCAGUCGUCUGGUGGGCAUGACUUUUCAAGAUUUUUAGUCAUAUCCACCAGCAGGCUGAACCCAUGUCGUGCUGCCCAUAGUGGGCUAGUUUGUAGGUGUUAAUGGGCUAGCCGCUAGCCUUGUUCUUAAACAGUAUAAAGACUUUGGGCUCAAGAAAAUCCGAUAGUGAAGGACAAAUUUGCAAACUUGUUCAUUGUAUGACAUGACAUCAUAGAUUUUCUCAGUUCUUGAAAUGACAACCAGACAGAUUAGAGUAAUUAACUGCAAAAAAUAAUUUUCUUAGCUCGUGAUCGGAUACAGUUCCUAUUUGUUAUUUUUAAAAAUAUAAAAUAGUUAUGUUUUUAAAAAAACACUUUUAACCUAAGUAGUGUUUUUAAAAAAUUACCAAUUGUUUGAGAAAAUUUAGAAAACAUUUUUAAAAUUUUAAAAAAUUACUUAUAAGGUUAAAAAUUACUUAUAAUGACUUUUUAAGAAACAUUUAAUAAAUUUUUUUUGUAAAAAUACUUCUAAAAAAGCACUUUCAUUAAAAAGUAAAAACAUUUCAAAUUGAGACAUUAUUAAAGGCAUUGUAAGAGUCUUUUUAAGAAAACACUUUUAGCUUAAAUAGUAUUUUUGAAAAAAAAAUUGUUUAGUCAAAUUUAAAAAAUAUUUUUAAAAUUUUGAAAAAUUAGUUAUAAUAUUAAAAAAUUAUUUAUAAUAUUUUUUUAAAAAAUACUUAAUAAAUAAUUUUCUUAAAAAUAUACUAAAAGAAUACACAUUUACUAAGAAUGUAUUUGACCGUGAUUUUAGAAAGUGUUAAUAAUCCUUUUAAUGUUUGAAAAAUAAAAAAAUUUAAAUAUUAAAAAAACUAAAAACAAUUCAUAAAAUCACUAUCAAAACGCACUCUAAAACCUUUUGAACAAAAUAAAGUACUUAAAAUUAAGCUUUUCAAGGUGUAGCCAACAAAGCACUUGUUCUAUCUUCUCAACACUUUUAUAAGGUCACGCCAUAUUAUGGUAUCAUUACUUUGUAUUAAACUUUCAUUUCAUCAUUUUGCAUUUUGAUCAAAUUCUUUUAUGUUUGAUCCUAUUUAGUUACGGGUAAACUAAAAAGCCUUACAAAUUGAAAGUUUUGAAUUUCCACUAACAAAUAACAAUCAAUCUCUUUUUUUUAGGCUAUGUUUAAUUAUCAUAAAAUUUGAGCGCAAAUGUGAGACAAAGAAAAUAGAGAGGAAAAAUUGAACGAAAUAAAAAGUGAAGAAAAAAAAAAUAGAUUUAAAGUUAAAAAUUAUUUUUAUAUAUUGCUUUAAAUUUAUUUCAUUUAUUUUCCUUUAUUAUAUAAAUAUUAAAUAAAUUUAAAAUGCAUGAAUUUUAACUAAUUUUAAUUCUAAUUAAUUUUCUUUCACCAUUUUCUAUAAUGAUGAGAAAAUAAUUUUUGUUAGCAUUUUUUCUUUCCUUAAUACUUUCUUGAAACCAAACAUAACCUUAAGGCUAUAUCAAAGUUAAGUCCAUAAAUUUUUUUAUAAUUAUAAAAGAAUAAUGAUAUCUUUAAACAUACUUGAUUACUUUAUUGGAUUCAUUUUCUACCCUCCAUGAUAUAUAGAAAUUUCUAUUAAAAACUUUCAAAAUUUUUUAUACAAAAGAAGCAAAUGUGUAUGUCUAUUGGGAAGUGAGACCGAAAAGGGUCUAUUUAUUGUUGAUGAGCCCUUUGCUUAUAAGUGUAGUAGUUUACAGAGUGUUUGGUAAUGAUUUUGGGAAGUAUUUGUGGGAUCUUUAAUAUUUAAAAAAUAAAAAAUUUAAAGUGUUAAGAAGACUAAAAAUACUUCCUAAAAUCACUAUCAAACACACUUUAAUCUCCUAAAUGUUGCUUUUUAAUUGUUAAAUCCUCUUUUUGAUUGUUGAAAAGCAUGCAAACCAUGAAACAAGGAUUUGGGGUUAGAAAUUUGUUUUUGAAAAUAAUUUUUUGAGAAUUAAGAACAUAAAAUAAUUUUUUAAUUCAAAAAACAUGUUUAUUAAUUUUUAAAAAAAAAUUAUUAUGAAAACAAAUUAUUCUUUAGAAUAAAGUAGCUGGUUUUUUCUUCUGUUUUUUUUGUCAUAUUUGAAUUUUCUUACAAAAAUUUAUUUUAAAAAAUAUAUAUUUUUUGAGAAUUAUUAUUUUUUAAAUGUUUCUACACAAUUUGUAGGAAGUGAAUUUUACCAAUUUUCAUUAUAUUUUGGGAUUGAAGCAUAUGAGGUUGGAUGGAAUAUGACCUAGAACAGCCAGUUAGCUAAGCUUUUAUGAUUGAUUCGACAUCCAUUCUUUGAUUCUAUCCUAGUCUCUCAAAGCAAAUUUUGGUCAUUAUAAGGCUGGAUUGUAUGUGGUUGAGCUUUUUCUAUAGGCUUUCCAUACUUAUCCACUACCACAUUCUAAAGGGAGCAGUUGUGUUUGAUUGGGAUGCAAUCCAUUCAUUAUUACAAGAGACUUGUUAUUGGGAUUUAUAACUUAUACCCACACUUUCAUCAUUGAUAUAGUAAUAAUAUGGUGAGUGAUGUUGGUGAUAGGAAGAUCCAAGUGAUUAAGAGCCCGUUCAGUGAUUUUAAAAAAUGUUUUCAAAUUUUUUAACUUUUUAAAAUUUGUAUUGUUUAAAUGUUAAAAAGGUAAAAAAUAUUUUCUAAAAUUACUACCAAACACACUUUAAAAGCCUAUUUGAAAGUGAUUUUAGGAAAUAUUUUUAAAGCACAUUUUGACGGUAAUUCUAAAAAGUGUUUCUACUAUUUUUAAUACUUACAAAUUUUUAUUUUUCAAGUAUUAUAAAGAUUAGAAACACUUCCAAAAAUCAUUAACAAACUUACUCUUAAUUUUUUUAACACUUUAAAUUUUUUAUUAUUUAAGUAUUAGAAAUAUUAAAAACGUUUCCUAAAAUCACUCUCAAACGCACUCUAAAAAAUAAUUAUAUUUAUAAAUCAAAAUGCAAUUUAUUUCAUACGGAAUCAAAUAUUCCACGAGAAUACAUACCACAUUGGCAUUAAGAACCCGUUGUACAAUCUGUUAUUUUAAAAACAAUUUUUUAUGAUUUAAAAAAAAAAAAGGUUCAACAAUCAAAAAAUACAAAAUAAUUUUUUUCUUCUUAAAAAUAAAUAACAUGGUAUUUUUAGAAAACAUUUUUUUAAUUAUUUUAAUUUGUUUUCUAAAAAUAAUUUUUAAAAGUAAUUAUAUAAAUAUAAAAAAUGAUUAAAAAUAAAAUACUACAUGUUAAAAACAUUACAACUUUCCAAACAAAUUUUUAUUAUAUAAAACAUUAAAGAAUAUUGUUUAGUGUUUAAAAAGUCCUUGAAAACUAUUUUUCAAAAUUAUUAUCGAAAACACUUUUCAAAUAUAAUUUUAAUUUUAUUUUAUAAGGGAUGUGAUUAAACAAGGAAUUAAAAAAGACUUCAAAAUUCAACAAAUAUGAUCAUAAAAAAACCUAUGCCUAAAUCCGAGUUUGAUUUGUGCUUGAACUUGGUGAAUAUCAAAGACCUUGAAUAACCCUUUGAGGGCAUCUACGGUGAUCAAAGAAAGAUUAGAUUCUAUUUGAAAAUUGUUUUAGAAAAUCGUUUGGAAAAAUAGUGUUUUAUAACUGUUUUUAAAAAUUAUUUUUUGAUAUUUUGUAAAAUAAAUAUCUAUUUAAAAAUUAAUUUGAAAUAUUUUUAUAUUAUUUUAUAUGUUUUAAAAAUAAUUUUUAUAUACAAUAUUUUAUUUUUAAUCAUUCCUGAAUAAUUAUUUUUUAAAACUAGUUUUAAAAAACAAACGAAAACCAGAAAAUAAUUGUUACCACAGCUAGGCAAUUGCGAAGAAUUACAGCACCAAACCAGGAAAGGAAGCCGGUCCCUGACGUUAUGUUGAGGGUAGCUGUGCGGCUUGUGUCUCACCAAACUUUUGCCUUUGACCUUCAGGCACUUGCCAACGCUCUUGUGAUUGCCAUGGACCCGAGCAAGUUGUGCUGGCUGAUGGGUUCCUUUCUAUGCUCCUUUUCUUGGCUUUGGCAUUGUAAAUAUUGGUCAUGUGACAAGAAACUUCCCUGAUAUUUUAAUGCUAUCUGAACUUAUCCAACACUCAACCAUAUAGCAUUUGCUUGAAGCCUUUCACAAUUUCGUGUGAAAAAAAAAAAGUUUAUUUAUAAAAUUUAAGGAAGGAAAAUAAGUUAAAUCAGUAAUCAUUCUUACCUUGAGGUUUUGACUAAAUAUAUCUGAUACUUAUUGAUUUGAAAUUUCGUUAAACACGUGUUUUUUUCGUUAUUUUUAUUUAUUAUUUUCAUAACUCUUAUUAAAAUAUAGGAUAUUUGAUGAAAUUUUAAAUUAAUACAAAUCAUGCAUAUUUAACGAGAACUUGAAAAGAGGCGAGUGAAAUUAACCCUUUAUAUAAUAUAUGUUGUCGGAAAAAAAAAAUCAUAGAAUGAAUUCAUUGACAUCAUGGGAAUUCAUUGUUAAAUUGGAAGAAAUAUCUUGAAAUUGGGUUUUCAUUGAAAUGGAGGAAAGAGUAUCAUUAGCCUCUUUGACAAAGGCUAGCUAAUUGGGUUUUCAUUGUAUGUCAAAGUUAUGUACAACCUACUACUACAAAAAAGAAACCCAUCAUCAAAGAAAUAAAUUAAAACAGGAUUGAAUAUAGAGGUGCGAAAUUGAUCAAUAUUAUUUAAUGGUCCCACAUGAAAAUAGCCUUUCCAGCAAGUCCAUUCAAUUUUCACAAGACAUCCAACCAUAUCCUCAAGGAUGACCUCCCACCACACAAUCCUUGUACCACCUUAUCUCAUAUAUAGAUAGGAAUGAUCAACACUUACAGAAGUAUAUAUUAAGCAAGCAUGAACAGUAAGUAAAUAUAAAGCUGAAAGCAAAGAGCAUAGGUAUUAUUAAAAGUGGUGGCGUUUACAUGGCCACCAACGAUUAAAACAUCCGACGAUGAUGAUACACCAUAUCCUCAUACAAUAUUCCAUUGCAUUACUCCAUCGGAGACUUCGAAUAAGCAAAGAAAAAACAAAAAACAGACACAAAAAAUAAAAUUCCACAAGGGUCCUAAACAUGAGAGUGAAAAAACAUGGACAUCAAAUAUUGCGGAAACAGGAUCAGCUGGGCUUGUAGGCAAUGAAAGCGAUGCAUUGCACUUGGCGGUUAUUGUCGAAUCCGAUGAUUCGGAUGUGGGCGUCAGGGUACGCGGUCCUGGCUUCUUGCACCUCCUUAAUCACCUGGGCUGAGUCAGUGCACCCGAACAUGGGCAGCUUCCACAUGGUCCAGUACCUUCCGUCGUAGUAUCCUGGCGAUCUGUUGUGCUCUCUGUGGGGGUAUGGGUACUGCAUUCACAUACAAAAUAAUAAUCCAAUUAUUCUACAAAUUAAACCUCUAUAAUCCUAGUUUAAAAGCUUCACAGAAAAGUUCAUGAAAAUAACCAGCUUGGUGAAUUCCAAGCAAGGAAUCCAUUUCAUGCGGAGAAGGUAAUCCACUUCCUUGCAUAGCUGUUCGUCGUUGAGGGGUGGGAGGUAUGAGAGAGUCUCGAACUUCAUCAACCCUUCUGUAGGCCAAACCUGUGGUUUUCACAUGUACAAUAUCCACAGUUUAAUUCAUCAUAUAUAAAAAAAUAAAAAAUAAAAAAAACCCAGACUACUAAUGUCUUCUAAUUGAAGUGAAGUUGUGACUUGUGAGGCAGGGUGGUGGCAGUACCUUCAUGCAGCGAACUCGGCCACCAUUGCUAGCGACGGAGGUGAUGUCGGUGUUGGCUUUUCGGGUGCCAGGGAAAGUCGACAAAGAUUUGAGUCCGGUGAAGGGGGCCACCAUGUUGGCCUGAGCCGGGGUAGCACGGUUGAUUGUAGCCACGGUGGCGGAGGAGACCAUGGAGGAAGCCAUUUUCGCCUUUUGGGUUUUGCUAACACCACCACUGCCUUGUGAGUUAUGGCUCCUGCUUACCCCAUCCUAUAUAUAAUCCUCCGAGCUUUACUCUCUUCUCUAACUGGCCUCACAUUUGCAUCCAAGGGCUGAGGGUCGAGGGGUCUGGGGUUGGAGGCCUUUGGGCCGUUGGAUGAUACCAGGGGAUGACAUGAAAAUUUCGAUGGCCACAUAUCAGAAUUGGAUGGGUGCCUUAUCGUUAUGGCACCCCUCUCGGAGUGUCGACACGUGUCGACACCUCAUUAACCUUAUCUAACGUUGUGAAGAAGGUGAUUGUGUGAUGUUUUCUGGCCCUUCGUUUCUGGGGUGACUGCCGCUCUUCGCCCAUGGAUAUUUGGAGUUUUGUUCAAUUACCUAAUUGCCCAUCUGGGAUUUUUUUUCAAAUAUUAUUUUUUUAUUAUUAUUAUCAUGUUUUUUUUAAGUGAUGCGAUGAGGUAUGGAGGUACCAUGAUAAGUAAUGGUGUGACUGCAAGCCAUCAGAUCAGAGGGUCCCCCACUUGGAAUAUUGCUCCAAUUCUACGACUAGGUGACUAACACUCAGCAGCCCUUUAAGCGGAGGAAGAAAUGUGACAGUUUCUAUAAGUGGAGGAAGUCUGAAUUCUGAAAGGCAUCGAUAAGGCCUUAAAACGUAUCUAUUGAAGGCAUAAAUCACUAUGUUCUCUUUUGGCUUACCCCAAAAAAAAACACACAUUCCCUGAUUCAUGUAUUCUUACUUCUCAAAGUCCUCAUUUUGGACUAUUUUACAGGCUUUCUUCCUAGAAUUUCAAAUUCAAAUUCAAAUUCAAAUUCAAGAUCAUAAAGAAGCCUCCACCACUCAAGGUUUAUCUUCUCUCCUAAAGGGAGAUGAUAUUUUGCCAUACAAAGGUUUCAGGACCUCCAAAAGAAAACGGUACUAAUUUUGUGUAAUUUCAGUAUGCUUAUGAGUUACGACUCAACUCAAGUCCCGGUUGGUGAGCAUCACUUCUAAAAAUGUAGUGUUGGGUCAAUUUGUUAGGUGGACCAUCACUUCUCCACAGAAACUUCUAGCUCUUCUCUGCACUUGUGGCCUCUAUUCUUUCAUAUAAGAUGUAAAUAUUCUCACUAAAUAAACCCAAAAGAAAAAAGAGAGAAAAAAGAUUGGUGGAGGUUGUUUUGGAGGAGGGAUCCCUGUGAUCCACAUGUAACAAUCAAGGUUUCCAUUCAAGUUGAUGGAUAGGCCUGUGUGCUAUAACAAAAUCUUGUGCAACUCCACCACAAAUUCUCCAAAUCAAAUCCCACUGUCAAGCCAAGCAACAUGCUCCAGAAAGCGAAUUCUGAAACCUUUUCUAGAUCAGUGACAACAGAUGUGUUUGUGUUUCUUGUUUCAAUGGAGAAGCCAAAGCCUCUUUAAGACGUAUUAGUGCUGUGACAGGAAAAAUAAACUCAUGUUUUGAUCUUGUAGAAGAGAUUGAAAAUGCAUGAUGUAUUGUUUAUAAUGCUGGUGUAAAUAAUGAAACUGUUAGAAAGGGAUUGUAGGGAAAUUGCUUGUGUUGAAGAUGAUCCUUUGAAAUCAUAGUUUCUGCCUUACCUUCAGCUUCAGGCUAAACCCACAGGCAAAAAUGGCAAGAGGAACCUUCUAACACUCAUUUUCUCCCAUCUGCAUUGGGAGGGUAAUACCAAAAACUAAUUUAUGCGGAUUAAGACUGAUUGCGAGAGGAAUAUGACAUUCAACAGGGAAUACAAAAAUCAUAAACUGAAAAGUUUGUUUAUUAAAUCCAAUUAAAUAUGACAUUGCCCACCACGAAAAGCAGUGGAAUACGAAGAAUGACUUCCAAUAGAGGAGCUUCUGUACAGUUAUAAGCAGGAAAAAAAGAAAGAAAAGAGAAAAGAAUUACAUGGAAGUAGUGAAGUACAAACUGCAUAACCAGGAAAAAAUAUGCAACUGACUUCCUUCUAAUUUACUGCCAUCGCCUAGGAGGCUUGGUGAAAGUAGAGCUUCCAGUGCCACUGAUAGUAGCACUUCUUCUCAUUCCUGAGAAGAGCAGUUACAGGGAAAGAUAAGAGAUUGAAGGAAUAUUAUUAGCAAGUAGCAAUUGAUCCCAAAAACUCUAAUAUUUUACAUACCUGUUGCCGCCUUUGGAGAAUCCUUAAGAUGUGAUGGUGGAGGAGAUGAAGUUCGCAAUGUUCUUUGCGGUGGUCUUGUUAUUCUAGAGGCUGGUUUAGACCUGUACAAAAUAAUUUUAGUUCAGGUUUUGGACUUGGAUUCAAUUCCAUCAGUAUACAAGUCCAUAUCAAAAAGCCCCAAAAGUAAUCUCUACAUAUAGACAAAAUCAAGCAACAAAAUGCAGUAGGCUGCUGCUUUGGACUAGCUCAUUACAAGAACAGAAAAUUAUUUCACCCAAGUCAGGGGUAAAGAAUGGUUUGAUAUCUCAUGAUGGGAGAAUUAGUACCCACAUUGGUCAAGGUCCCAAGUUGAAGGGAGACAUAAAAUGGAUAUUACCACAGCAAAUUAUCAACACAACCAUUACUUUCCAAAAAAAGAUUUUGCAUAAAUAAAAUGAAUUAAAUGUAGUAGCAGACCAACUGAUAGAGCAUUCAGUUUUUUAAUAAUGAAGAAAAUUAAAACAGAAAAUUCAAGCUCUCUUUUGCAAUUUUCAUAUGUUUUACUCACAGAUGAAUCUUUGUAUCAACACCCAAAGACUGAAGUAAAGAAGAAAAAUACUCACUUCUCUGUGGUCUCUGAUGCUUUAGAUUGAGCAGGGCCAUUAUUUUCUGUUCGCAUAGGAAAACCACCAUCAGAUGUAUCACUUGAUCUCUCGUCACAAUCUGUCUCCCCAAAUCCUAAGGUCGAAGCAUCUGCAGGAUUAUUCUGACCUAUGUCCCCACCGGCAAGCUUUGAUUUCCGAAGGGAUUCAUUUGGUUGUUUAAAGUCUUCCAUGGACUGCUGGGAAUCAGCAUCAGAAUGCUUAUCACUGUAUUCUGAACUGUUGUCCUGAUCAGAAGCUGCUCUCUCAGCUGGUCCUAAGCCUUUCCCACCUGGUAGUUUCUGGCUUAGUUGAGCAGUCCCACCCACGAAAUUCCUGCUUGGUGGGGAAGAUCCAUACUUAAACGAACCUGUAACACUUCUCUCACAGUUGAGACCAGGAUGUACAUUUUUGAGAUCUUUAAGUAGUUGCAACCGUUCGAUCUCCUCAUCUUUUUUGGCAAUUGUGUCUUUGAGAGAUGCCACCUGCAGGAUCAAUAAGGUAUUUAGAAAACAAGGAACUACCAGUGCCUUGAAAGAUGAUUACUAGUUUUGAUGUUUAACUAAAAUUGAAAUGAGUAAACAAGCAGGUAUAUUCGGUAUGAAAAGACCUAGAUGGAAAUCAGAUGAUAGAAAAUCCACCUUUUCACAUGUGCACAUAUAUCAGUAAUCAAUCAAAAAGGAGUUCUAAUGUAUAUAAACAAAAGAACAGGGUACAGUGUAUUGCAAGAGCACAGUACAGGGCGUUCAAGACCGUCUUUGAAUGCACCUCAAUAUGAUCACUAGACUCCAAAGCUCAAGAAAAAUGGUGUCCCUCCUCUUAAGCAUAUAGCUCCAGUUAAGUGAUAAAUAGAAAAAUGCAAAAAGCACAUACCUCUCCCAAGUGUUUUCAAAUAUCUCUUUCUUUUCAUCUCCAAGUGUUCCUAUAUUCCUUCUUGUUUUGUGUAUGUACCAUGUAUACACAUAAAGAUAUAUUUGUGUAUUCUGUUUUCAAAACCAAAAGCCAAAAACAUUAUCCCCUCAUUUCCUUAUAGCAAAGGGUCAAUAAUCUCGAACUUAUUUUUUCACCUUCUAAAACAUUGGUGUGGAGGUGACAAAAGCAGGGUCCACAAGGACUCAUUUGUAAAGCAAAUCAAUUAUCUAUGACAAUUUUCCUCCUAGUAAAUUGUUGUUGAACAUAUGAAAGCAGUAGCCCCUAGAAAUCAACUGAUAUUUUAUGUAACCAUGUGACCCGACAACUAGAGGAGUAAGAUCUCAUACAUCCUCAGCAAUUAUUUUGAGAUGAAUGUCUGGAAUUAAAACACAGUCCCUAUUCUGAACGUAAGCUGAAUUGGAUAAUAACUGAAAGAUUGAUUGAUCGCUCUGCAAGUUAAGAAAGAGCAAGGGAAAAGGAAAACAAAAAAAAGAAAAAAAAGAUCUUGAGGUCCACUGAGAAAUUAGACCUACUCAACUACUUGAGUAAACCUUAUAUAUUUCUAUAGUGCUUGCAAUACGUCUUGAAAAGCAUAAAAUUCUAUUUAGCACCAUGGCUAGUAAAUAUUCAACAAACUGCUACUUAAAUGAAUAUGAGAACCUGAUCCAUUAAUUCCUUAACGUCCCUGCCCUCUUUGCUACUCCGUGCAGCACCUAGCUCGACUCCAGAAACCCUCUCAGCAAAUUUCAAAGUACUUGCAGUUUCAGAAAAUGAAUUCACAUCAGGAUUAAGCUGCACAAACAUAAGAGUCUUUGCUUGACCACCUGUAGUUUAUAAAGUAGAAAAUAAAAAUCCGCUAUAUGAAGUUCAAAAAGAGGACUAUUGGGAGCUAAGGAAAUAAUUUAGAGUCCUGACGAAACAAUAAGACAGGUGAAGGGAUUUAUUGCUAAAAGCAACUGGAAAACAGUGAAGUACCAAGAGAACUCUGAAGGACUUGAGUAAGCUUGCUGUUUCUGUAUGGUACAUGAGAGCUCUUCUGGGCAAGAGCAAAGAUAACAUCUCCAAGGGCAGAUAGCGAUUUGUUUAUAUGUUGUGCUUCCCUAAGUCUCUCUCCAGUUACCUCAGAGCGAUCUACCCUUUCACUUCCUGCAAGAUCCACCAAGUGAAGACUGCCACGCAAAGAAGCACCAGUCUUCAAAUCCGUCCCCCAAGCAUGAAUAGUUACAAUACUGCAAUAACACAUCUAAGUGAAGAUCAUAACAUGUAGAACAUAUACAGUCUGAAGAUGGUAAUAUCUAAAAAUGAAAUGACAACCUGUGGGAGCGGCUACUUCUUUCAUUCAUAGCAGUGGCACCUACAGAUCUAUUCUUUUGUCCAAUGUCCAUUAAUUCCAUUACAUCUGAGGUUGAUUUGACUGGGAGCAUGGUAGCAUCAGGAACAGCUAACCCAUGGGGCUGAGAGGUAGUCAAAAUCCCAAGUGUGUGCAAAUUAAGGAAAACAAAGGAUUUCAUGCCAAAACACAUGAAAACUAUUUUUCACUUAAUCAAACCCAAGAAGAAAAAGGCCAAGAUGCAGAAUUAACAAAGAUUUCAAAGAGAAUUAUACCACACCAGACAGAUAAAUCUGGAAAAAUCUAGAAAUGUAACUGGAAGAUUAUAGAGAAAUGUUUUAUGACAGUUAUCUGUCAGACAAAAACUAGUCAAUGGAUUAGGCAGAACAACUCAAAGCGAAAACAGAAGAUGAAAAUGAAUAGAGAAGGAUAUCCUUUUUACAUCUUUAUGCCAAAGAAUGAAAAUGAAUAGAGAAGGAUAUUUUUUUUGAGAACUAUCACUUGAUAGUAAAUCACGCACUUGUUCAUUGUAUAUUUCAACCAUUUGAACUCCAAUUUCAUACAUAAAUGAGCUUCUCCUGCUUUGAGUGAUCUCAAAGAGGUCACUUAGUGCACGAUAAUUGACACCCCAUUCCUCCUUGGAUGCUGCAUUGGGGCCAGUCUAGAGGAAAGACAAUACAUUACACAAGUUUUUAUUGAAAAUAUCAACACAUAUGCCAUGUAGACUAAAACAUAUACAAGUUCAUACCAUUGUGUAUGUCUUGCCCGAACCAGUUUGACCAUAAGCAAAUAUACAUACAUUAUAGCCAUCAAGAACAGAUCGUACCAAGGGUUGAGUGUCAGAAAACACCUCAGCUACAAACAUUUUCCAAGCAUAAUAUGAGUCAAGCAUUAUAAUGAUUUCUUGAAAGAGAUCUAUUCAAGGAUCCAAAUUAUAAAAUAUAAGGAUGAAAAACCUUGAGUAGCAGCUGGGCCAUAGACCUUAUUGAAUUUGAACAACCGAUGACUGUCUUUUCCUUGUUUUGAGGGAUUCACAAUACCGAGCUCCCCAUCUUCACCAAUAUAUUCUAUGGUUGUCUGCUUUCCAUUCUGCCCACGGAGAAAUGGCCUUAUCCGGCAAUACACCCUAAUGUUUCCUAUCCAAGAAAUACAUGCAUCAGCCAAAAGAUGCAUUCAUAUAAAACUAGUCGUGAUUCCAACAGAGUUAAAUUGGGCAUGGAACCUUUUAAAUCUUGAACCUCAUUAUAAAGUCUCCUAUUUUCAGCAAGAACUGCAUGAUAGUUUUCAGAGGCAUCUACUAAUGCUUUUAGCUUUACUCCUGAACAACAGAAAAAUCGAUCUAUGAGAACAUGCUACAUAAAUUUAUAUAGAAUCAGGAGAACUUUGUAGUAACCAACCUCACCUAAGCAUUUAAAAUCCUCUGAAUAGCUCUUCUGUGUUUCCAAUACUUCUUUCUUGAUGGACUCGGAAGUGGACCUCAAUCCCUGAUUGUUUAUUCAAAGUUCCAGUAUAAAACAUGAGCAUUAAAUAGUAUAGUUUGAAAGGUCAAGAUCAAUUUGGUUAAAGCGGACCUGCAAGGCACUGAAUAGAAAAUUCACAAGUCUCAGGUAGCUUUGCUCUUUCUUAUCCCACCUUUGGCCUUCUAACCCAGAAUAAGCCUCAAGUUUAUUUAUCUUAUUCCUUGAAUCGGCUAGGAGCUGCUCAAGUUCCCUUGACCUCUUCUCAAACUCUGCUUUAUCUCCCAUACCUUGCUUUUCCAUUUCUGAGAAAUGUUCUUCAUAUGUCUUCCUGGCUAUUUCCAGUUCUUGCUUCAGAGCAGUAAUUUCGAUAUUAUUUUGAUCCUUCUCUUUGUUGGCUAUUUCAAGUUCUUGCUUCAAAGCUGAAAUUUCAAUGCCACUUUGAUCCUUCUUCUUCUUGGCCAUUUCCAGUUCUUGCCUCAGAACCAAAAUUUUAGAAUCAUUUGGAUCCUUCUCUUUCUUCCUUGCUAUUUCCAGUUCUUGCUUUAAAGCUGAAAGUUCCAGAUGGUAUUGCUCCUUCUCUUUCUUCCGGGCCAUUUCCAUUUCUUGCUUCAGAGAAGAAAUUUCAAGAUUUGUGUCAUCCUUCUCUUUUAUCAGUCUAGCCAUAUCCUCCUCAAGCUUCUUCUUGUCUUCCACAUUGGCCUUUUUAGUCUGAAAUAAAAAGAAAUAAAAUUAAAGACUUCAAAGGUAUCCAUACAACCAAGAAAGCAAUAUUAUUUUUUCUCAGGCAAACAAAAUAUGCACCAUGUCAUCUCAAGCAACUGAUCAACAAUUGCAGCAAAUUAAGAAUAGAAUCAAUUGUGAAUACGCCUUCCACUUCCAUCAUGAAAGGAGAAAUUUGAUAUAUCAGUGGGCAGUCAAACCUCACUAUUUCCAUCCUCAUCUUUAACAUCAUUUAACUUUUGAUUCUUAAUGAACACAAAUCAAGGAUAUCAAACAUAUUAAAGUGGUUGAAAAUUGUGAAAAGAAACACCAGAAUCCAGUAAAUGAAGGAAGAAGCAUUGAGGGAAGGAGAGGAUACCACAGGACUCAAGAUUUUUUUUUUUUUUAUAACCGAAGAACCUUCCAUGGCUAAGCCCUUAGGACUCUCCAUGGGAACUCAAACCUCGGGGUGCUAACCACCCCACAACAACCAGCACCGGGUAAAUUCAGAGUAUCAUCCAUAGUAGGAUUCAAACCCAGGACCAUGUGCAACUUACUAGGACCACACUUCCCAAUGUUCGCCCUAACCAACUAGGCUAUCCUGGCAGGGACCAUAGGACUCACAUAUCUGGCUGCACAUGUUUUCAUGUAAUGUUAACUAAAAUUUUACUAAAUCUUAGACUACCUAAAAGUUGUUUUAUGAAUCCUUUGUUUUAGGUGCAACAAAUUGAACAAUUAUGGGAAGCAAAAAGCAAAAAAUACACAUCGGUAUAUUUUGGAACAGAGAAUAGUCCCUAAAGGAUAUCAGAUACAGGAUGUUUGAAGUAAAAGAUGAAUAACAUAAAAGAGACUUUCUAAUAUCUCAAUUAAGAAAAAUGCUCACAGAUUAUAGCCAUACCUUUAUCUGCUGGAGAUGAUUCAAUACAAUCUGCAGCAAAUAAUUUCAUUUGGUGAAUCCAGUAGUUGUACCAAAUAAACAAAAAGGCAAACCUGACAAUUUAGAAUCUUUCAAUACAACAUAUUUGAAGUACCUGGUUUUCAUCAUUAGUCCCAGUUGCAAGGGUUUCAAGUACUCUGAUUCUCGACUGGUAUUUCUCUUCCCGAGACUUAAAGAGAUUGUUUUGCUGCAGGCACAAACCAAUAGAAAAGAAUUGAUAUGGACUAGACAAUAAAAACCAAUAAAAGAAACAAAGUAAGUAUAUUACAGUUCUUAAGUGUUCUGCUUGAGUUGAUAUUCGCCGCUCAAUUUCCUGCACAACUUUUCUCAAUAGACAUGCCACACGCUGAGGAAAAAAAAACAAAAAAUAAAAAGCAUCCUCAGAUAAGUUUUUUAGCAUUAAAAAUGCAUUUAUAUUAUCAAUAUAUAUAUAUAUAUAUAUAUAUGCCUUAAUUUAACACCAGUUGCCCUCUCAUUGCCAUACGUGAGGUAUCUCUUCAUUCUUCCUUUCAACGCUUUCAUCUAGAAUUCCAUUCACAACACUCAAAAGUGACUGAGUUGGGGCAUUCUGCAAAAAUGAGAUGCUUGAAUGCAUUAAAGAAGCAUAAAACUGAAAAGACCACCUAAAAAAUCCUAAAUCUUGCCCAAUUAUGUCCAUUGACAACAUAAGGUGCCAUAUGACUUACAUCUAAACUGUUAGAUUUCAUCAUUUCUGUAAGCUUAGCAGCAGGAAUAUCCGCAUAGCGUCCUUGUUUCAGUUGAAACACCUCAUGGAACUUGUGUCCCACAUGAUAUAUUAAUGCAGCUGAUGGCUCUACAAAAAGGGGAAAAAGUAAGAUAACAACACUACGUCCAAAUAAAAUUAUCAUUAUUGAAGAGCAUCUGCUAGUUUUGUGUUGUUAGAAUACAAAAAAACUAUCCACUGUCUCAAUAUAGCAGAUCUCACUUCACAACUUCACUAUGGAUAAAAGCUGUUAUCAUAUAUUCAUAUGGCUGCAUUAGAACAGACAAGCACAUAGAGGAAUAGAGUACAAAAAAACCAUACCAGACUUGACAGGACUACGCAAAGCACGUUGAAAUUUGGAUUCUGAAAAACUCUUUUGCCUGUCUUCUCCACAUGGUGUAGGCCCACGCGAAGGAUCAUCCACUUGAGGACCAAUGUUUCCAGAUUUAGAAAAUGAACUACUGAAUGGAAAAUUAUUUCCACAUACAGUUGGUAUAGUGUGUGCUUUAAGUGUUAAAAUGCACUCCAAAACAGUCUUCAUAGAUCCCUGCAACAUAAAAUCAACAUUAUGAUAAAUGCCGAGAGCUCUGGUGAUGCUAAGAAAACAUAUACUCAAAUUCAUUUGAGCAAAUUAAUCAAAAAAAAAUUUGAAAUUCACUACUUCAACUUUGAGAUGUUUGCAAAUUGCUAAGAAAAUAAAUGUAAAUAAACCUACAAUGACUUCAGUGGGAGUACUACUAGUUUGUGUACAUAAUGGAUAGUAAUUCUUAUAAACAAUUGAUAGUAGGUCAUGAAAACAAUUGAUACCUUUUCCAGGUCUGCAAUUUCAAACCCGGGCAUCCCUAAUGCGUCCAAAGCCUCCAGAAACUUUUUAACAUUUUCAUAGCGCAUCCCAGAAGAAUGAUCAUAAUCACGCACCUAAAGUAAAAAAAAAAUGCACAUCAAAACAACAAUUCUAACAUCCAGAGAUGAAAUUCAACACUAACUGCAUCUAAAUGAACAAACCUCACUCACAGAACCAGGUCUCAGUCUGUUCAAAAACCGACAUAAAACAGCACCAUCAAUCAAGCAGGCCCUCAAUUCCUCUACUGAAGCUUUUACUGGCAAAUUUAAAUUAGGAAGCAUGGAAUUUAACCACUCCGCCACAAUGGCUCGCUUCUUGUCUGCAUAAAAGGGAAUGAAAUAAAUACAAAGUUCAGUAAAUUAAGAUGGGAAAAACAAAGGAAGAGAGGAGCAAAAUCACCCUUUCUUCACCUUUAUCAUCAGCAUUAUGAGUUGCCAUUGGUUCAAAAACAUCCCCAUUACCAGAUACUCUGAAACUGCCAAUUCCCCCAUAUUUCUUUGCGUUGUAAUCCAAUGUAGAGUCCAUGAUGAAAUACAAGGGAAGACAUCUAGCUUCAAAGCUCAAAACCUCAAACUACGAAAAAUAAGAAAAAAACCCCCCAGAUUGUUUCAAUAAAAUCCAAAGAAAUCAUUUGCAGGAAGAAGGGAACAAAAAGUUUAUUUAUCUCCAGACUUCCCCAGAAAUGCAACAAUCCUGAAAAGUUAUUAAAAAAAAAAUGUAAUCAUCACCACAACUUUAUUUCACAUUCCCUCAUCAACUCAAUACAUUAAACGAUGUUAUGCAUUAAACCCAUGGUUCAUGCCUGGUAAUGGCAUUAUUUUAAUUUCCAAAGGCAAGAGAAUCAAAUGCUUCUUUUGCAUGGUGAGCACGUAACACAACCCAUUACCAAACACCAACCAACCAUUAAGUCAGAGCUCAAACUCUGACUGGUAGGGAGCCCAAGCAGAAAACGGAAAUACAAAUAUAUUCACCUGCAUGGGUGGAAAAUGAGAGAGACCCAACUCAGAAAAGAUUUCAGCGAUGGCCCCUGGGCUCCUCCUCCAUCUGGUGUAGCUUCAAAAGUUUCAUUGGCAACAAGGAUUUCAAGGAAGAGAAGAGAGGAGAGAAAAUGGUGGAAACAAGAGAAGAAAAAAAGUUUGGAAAAGGCAUAAUGAAUGAAUAAAUAUUACAGAGAGAGGGAAGAAGAUCGAUGGACGGCCGGCCGUUUAAUCCUGGUCAAUCGUGGUUGAAAUGUGUUGAAAUUCAUACGUGGCCACGUACUAUACGGCAAUUAUAUAUUUUUUUUUUAAAUGUAAUAUUAAUAUUUUGAAAGAAAUAUAUUAAUAAAUAAUAAUAAGAUUAUGUUUAAUAUUUGAAUUUAAAACUUAGAGUGUUGAUUUUUGAAAACGUUUCUAGUUUUUUAAUAUUUUAAUAAUAAAAAUUUUAAAAUGUCAUAAAAUCAUUAUUAAACAGGUUCUUAAUUAAGUGAUUAGAGGAGUAUUAAAGGGACUUAAUUUAUUUUGUUGGUUAUAAUUAUUUUUAUAAUAAAAAAUAAUUUAAAAUUUGCCUAGACCAACCAAACUUAACCAAGAUCUAAUUUAAUGUUUUAUAAAUUUUACAAUAUAUUAUUAUUUAUAAUUAUAUAUUUUCAAAUAAUUAUAAAAGAAAAAUGUCAAUUUAAUUGUAUUAUGUAUUAUUUUAUUUUUUUUAAUAAAAAUAAAUUCAUUUUGCAUUUUUAUUAUUCUUAAAAAUAAUGUGUCAUUUGAUAUGAAGUGUAUCAAAAAUAAAAUCAAAAUACUAUCACUAAGUGGAAUUUUCUUUUUUUCCUUUUUUCUUUUACUUUUUUUUUUCUUUUCUUUUUUUUUUUUUUUUGUUAUCACAACGAAAGCUUUGAUGCAAACAUCGUUAAUCAAGAACAAAAGAUAAAAUAAUCAAUAUAAACAGUACACGAGGUUUUAACAUGGUUCGACCAACCAUGCCUACGUCCACGGAUAAGAUAAUCAUUUCACAAUACAAUAAAUAAUAUUACAUGACAGAACCAGAACAUUAGAGAUGACAUAACUAGAUAUAACUAUUGGGUUCUUCAAACAUGUCAUGUUUCCCCACUCUUUGUAUCUCUACCCUACCAUGAGCUCUAUCGCUUCACCAUGUACCUCUUGUUUUUCCUCAUAUCUCUAUUCACCUCAUAUAGUCUUUACAAACUCAUCUUCAAUUCAUAACUUUUUCUCUUUCAUAACCUAGAAUAUUUAUAGACAUAUUUCCAAUAACCUUUCUUAUUUUACAAGGAAGCCUAAUAUCAACCUAAAAAUAUUCUAUAUAAUAUUUUUUUCUACAAAAGAAGAAUAUAUACUAAUUAGGAAUUUGAGACACUUCUUAACAAUCUCCACAUUGGACCAAAUUCCAUAAAGUCAAUCUUCAAUGGCACAAACUUUUUUUUAUUUUUAUACCACGAGAGAGCAAUCAACUCCACCUUCAUUGAAAAUUUCUUUUGUUUUCAUCUUGUGUACUUUGUGAUCUUUUACUUUUCCAGAAAUCUUUAACCUAAGUUUUGAUACCGGUUUGUUGUGUCGGCGAAAGCUUUGAUGCAAUCAUCGUUAAUCAAUAACACAAAGAUAAAAUAAUCAACACAAACGAUAUACUAGGUUUUAAUGUGGUUCAACCAACCAUGUUUAUAUUGACGUAUAAGAAAUGAUUAUUUCACUAUACAAUAGAGAACAUUACAGAUGAUAAAACUAGAAUAUUAUAGAUGAUAUAACCAAAUACAAUUAUUGGGUUCCUGAAACAUCUUAUAUUUUCCCAUUCUUUGUAUCCCUACUCUACCACAAGUCUUCUCGUUCUAUUGGUACCUCUCGUUCUUCCACACAUUUCCCCUUAUGACCUAAAAUAUUUAUAAAAAUAUUUCCAAAGAACCUUCCUUAUUCUAUAAGGAAAUCUAAUAUUACAAUAAUAUAUUAACCUAAAAGUAUUCUAUAUAAUAUUUUUUUUUACAAAAGAGAAAUAUAUAUUAGGAAUUUAGGACACUUCUUAACAAUAUUAAUUUUAAUAUAACUUGAAUUUACCUUAUGUUUGAAAAUAUGAUAUUAUGAUACUAGAUUAAAAUGAAUUGAAAAAAUAUUUAUUAAUUUAGAUUGGGAUCUUCAAUGCAAACCCAACUUAAUCUAAUCUAAAUUCAACCUUAUAAUAGAAUCAAAUUUAAAUUCAUGAAUUUGAAUAGAAGCUAAACUUAAUAUUAAAUUAAAUUAAAGUUUUAUAAUCCAAGCAAUAUCUUUUGUUUACUUUAUACUCUUAAGAAAACAUUAUUUUUUUUUAUCAACUAAAUUUAUUUUCCUAAUAAGCCAUUUUAAUUUCCACAUUGGACCAUGAAAUAAGAUAAAAAAAAAAAAAAUACUCCUUUACGAUAGGACAUUUUGUUAAAAAAUGGUGGUUGUAAAAAUAAUUUGGGUGUAUAAUAGUUUAAAAAAUAUUUUUAAAUGUAUGGCUAAAAUGCCAAUGAAAAAUCGUGUUUUAAAAAGACAACUUGGCUUACAUCACAUUGAAUUUAUCUUUUGUAAAAACCAUUUCAAUAUAAAUUUUAAAAUUUAAAGUUAAAUUUUUUAAAAUAUAACUUUUAUUCAAUACUUUUUCAACUACUUAUUUUAAAAACAAUUAUGUAAAAAUAUAAUAUUUUUUUCCAAAUCCAUGACGUUUAUAACCACACAAGGAAAAUAAUUUUUUUUUUUAAAUAAUCAUAUCAUCAAUUCAACUAAUUUUUAUAAUAAUUCCUAUAAAUUUUUAUAUUUAAUAAAUAGAAACCAUCUGCUUGCGACGUCAAUAUAGAGCAUGGGAUGUGAAAUCAGUUGAUUGAAGGUUUAUAAUAAUUCUCAUAAAUUUUUAUAUCUAAUAAAUAGAAACCAUCUGUUUGUUCGGAGAAUGGAAUGUAGAAUUCAUCAGCUAUUGAUUGUGGUUAUAAAUUUAUCAGAUAUAUAUUAAGUAGGUCAGUGGGUGCAAAACCCCAACUCAAAACUGGUCUAACAGUCCAAAAAUCCCAAUCUCUUAGACAACCUCUGGCUGUGGGAACCUACAUGAAACUUAUAAACAAUCUUUGCUAUAUGUUUUGUUCAGUCUUGGAGAGUUGAGACUUGAUGAAACCCAAUAAUGAUGAAAAUUGGCUUUUCUCCCUGGGCUCAUCUUUAAUCUCAGCACCACAAGCAAAAUUGUAGGCAAACACCCUACACGUAUGAAAAACAAAGAACAAAAAGCCAUAUAAUACUUAAUGAAUUAAUCAGUAAUUAGAAGAUGCUAUCCUUUAUGUUUCCACCAGUAAGCAGACUGAAAAAAGGAUCUUCCUUGUUUUCAUUGUCACUUUUGAUUUCCUCAACAGGGAAAAAGGGUGUGGUAGCUGCUGAUACUGUAGGUCUCUUCACGGAGACAAAAGCCACUUUAUUGCUUGAAUCAAAUUUACGUUUUAAAGGAUUUGAACUCGGAAAUGAGCUUGUGUGUGGAAGCAAGCCUUGUUCUGGGAGGAGAUUCUCAAUAGAGGAUCCUUCAACUUCUGAACCAUUGCUAACUUGCACACUAUCUUCAACCCGCUUCCCAUCAUCACUUUCAAGGGAAGGAUUCACCAGUAGAGAUUUGUCCUCACUGACCAGAGUUGGACCCUCUUCUGAACUGUGGAGCAUGUCUGUCUUCUUGGAGCCAAGUUCAUCAUCUACACAAAAGACAAAUGUUACAGAACUGGGCAAGAGAAAUAGUAGCACCAGAAUACAAAGCAACAGCAAGAAACCAGAGGUUAAGGCAGCUGCAAAUAAAUUAUGAGAAUUGGAAAUACUCAUUUGCAGCAUGCUAGCUUGUUUAGCAACAAAAUAUAUAAAACUAGCACCAAAAAUCCAAUUGACAAGCCUCGAGGAAAUUUUCCAUCCAGUCAAAGUGUCCAAGUUGCAGGAAAUCAAUAGCUUCAGCAUAACAACAGGGCUCUGUUGUUUCAAGAAUAAAUGUUAACUUCCUAAACGUCUCAAAUGGAACCCAACACAGCAUCAUGCCUCUGGAAGCAACUUUUCAUAGCCUCCAGAAAAGUGAGCUCAAGCUUGAAUUCAAGAGGACGAAAUUGAAUCUUCAGCUAUAAACUAAAACAUGAUGUAGCUCACUUUAGCUUCUGUCAAGUCUAUGUCUAAAGUAAAUCAUCAUAUGUCUGAGGAUUAAAUAGAUGGUUAAACAGGAAAAUUGAAUCAUUUUUUACCCUAAUGAAUAUUCUUGAUCAUGAAAUAGAUGGAACCAUUCUUAUCCAAUGGUCAUUGGUAAUGUAUCUGACAUUAAUCAGUACUUAUAAAAAUAUGAUAGAAUAAGUAAAAAUGUUGAAUAUAAUGUAUUUAUAGUAUAUUAUCUUUCCUUGUUAAUAUAGGUCACAUGUAUGGUAGUUAGGACUCCUAGCCUUGUAUAUAUAUAUAUCUCAAUUGUAAGUAGACAUUACAUGAAUGAGAAUUAAGGUUUUUCUCCUUUCUCUCUCUCUCUUUCAACAUGGUAUCAGAGCCAAGGAAGAAAACCUAAUUCUUUCCUGUUUCCCGUGUCAUCAACUCCGGGAAACCUUCCGGUGACUGUGUUUCUUUCCGGUCACCCUCCCCAUCUCCCAACACUUUCCGGUCAGUCGGAUCAUCGUUAGAAACCACUCACCGCCGGCAAAAUUUUCCGGCAAAUUUUCCGGCGAACUUUCCCGGCGACCUAUUUUUCCGACACUGACCAUACCAGAAGGAGCGCCUGGAGGAGAUCUCCAACUUUUGUGAAGGCACCAGCAUCAAAAGAGGAUCCACGCGCCGGCGACUGCAUCUCACGCGCCGGCGACUGCAUCUCACGCGCCGGCGCGUGAGGGCGCGUGAGGCCUUUUCCGGCGACGCGCCUCCUCCUCCAGCCUCGCCUGCCGCCGACCAGCAUCCCUACCUACCUGGUUCUCCCAUCCGAGCCCUGCACGUACCUCUUUUGGGGAUUUUUGUCUCCGUCAGCCCUCCAAACAACCUUUCCGGCGAAGUUCCGGCUACUUUCUCUCCACCCCAAUCCCUGCACGUGCCUUGGGAAGUGUUCAUCUACCUUUCUGGUGGUACCACGUCGCGAUCUGAGGCCGUCUCCCUUUUUCGGUGGUGCCACGCCGCAAUCUGAAGCCGUAUUAGGGCUCUCUUCGAUCCAAAUACGUGAAUAUGACCACCAAAAAUCAGAUCUUUACCUCUGUUAUCUCUGGAUCUCCUAUGAUUACCUCAGAGAAAUUGGUUGGCAGUGAAAAUUAUCUUUCCUGGUCUGCCUCUGUUGAACUUUGGUUUAUGGGUCAAGGAUAUGAGGAUCACUUGGUUUCCCAGGAGGCAGAUAUCCCUGAGGUUGACCGCGUACAGUGGAGGAAGAUAGAUGCACAGUUAUGUAGUGUAUUAUGGCAAUCGGUUGAUCCCCGGAUUCUUCUUCAUCUUCAGGCCUAUAAAACUUGUUUUAAAUUUUGGACUCAAGCCAAAGGAUUAUACACGAAUGAUAUCCAGCGUCUUUAUAAGGUGGCUUCUGCUAUUGUCCAUCUCAGCCAACAGGACUUGGAUCUAUCUACUUAUAUUGGUCAGAUUGCCUCUCUUAAGGAGCAGUUCUUGACUGUGAUGCCUCUUACUCCUGAUGUUGGGGCUCAACAAACACAGCUUGACAAGUUCUUCAUGGUCCUUACUCUUAUUGGCCUCCGUCCGGAUCUUGAGCCUAUUCGUGAUCAGAUUCUUGGUAGUUCAUCAGUUCCGUCCUUGGAUGAUGUGUUUGCUCGCCUCCUCCGUAUCUCGUCCACUCAGACUUUGCCAUCUGAUAGCGCUUCAGAUUCUUCUGUGUUAGUUUCUCAAACUACCUCUCGAGGAGGACGCAGUGGUACCCGAGGUAGAGGCCAACGUCCUCAUUGCACCUAUUGCAAUAAACUUGGCCACACUCGCGAUCGUUGCUAUCAGUUACAUGGAAGACCUCCUCGCACUGCCCAUAUGGCCCAGUCCUCUGAUUCUCCGCUGCCUCAGCCUCCGAGCUCCUCCGCAUCUCAGACAUCUCAGGCUUCUAUUGCCUCUGUUGCCCAGCCUGGUAAUGCCUCUGCCUGCCUUACCCACACAUCUUCUCUUGGACCCUGGAUUCUAGAUUCUGGAGCAUCUGAUCACCUAUCUGGUAAUAAAGAUAUUUUCUCCUCUAUUACUACUACCUCUGAUUUACCUACUGUUACUUUAGCUAAUGGUUCUCAAACUGUGGCUAAAGGUAUUGGUUUGGCCCUUCCUCUGCCUUCUCUACCUCUCACUUCUGUCCUUUAUACUCCUGAAUGUCCUUUUAAUCUUAUUUCCAUCAGCAAAAUCACUCGUACUCUUAAUUGUUCUAUUACCUUUUCUGAUAAAUUUGUGACCUUGCAGGACCAGAGUACGGGGAAGACGAUUGGCAUAGGACGUGAGUCUCAAGGCCUCUAUCACCUCACCUCAGAUUCAUCUCCUGCAGUUUGCAUUUCCACUGAUGCUCCUCUCCUCAUUCACAAUCGUCUGGGCCACCCUAGUCUCUCCAAGUUCCAGAAGAUGGUUCCUCGUUUUUCCACUUUGUCGUCGCUUCCGUGUGAGUCAUGUCAGCUUGGGAAACAUACUCGUGUCUCGUUCCCAAAGCGUUUGAAUAAUCGGGCAAAGUCUCCUUUUGAGCUUGUCCACACUGAUGUUUAGGGUCCUUGUCGGACUGCGUUUACUUUAAGAUUUCAGUAUUUUGUCACUUUCAUUGAUGACUAUUCUCGAUGUACUUGGUUAUUUUUAAUGAAAAAUCGAGCUGAGUUAUUUUCUAUUUUCCAGAAAUUUUAUACUGAAAUCCAAACCCAGUUCAAUAUUUCUAUUCGUGUGUUACGCAGUGACAAUGCCAAGGAAUAUUUUUCAGCCCAAUUUACUUCGUUUAUGUCUCAUCAUGGGAUUCUUCAUCAGUCUUCUUGUGCUCAUACUCCUCAACAAAAUGGGGUAGCUGAACGCAAGAAUCGACAUCUUGUUGAGACAGCUCGUACUCUCCUCCUCUAUAGUCACGUUCCUUUUCGUUUUUGGGGGGACGCUGUUCUUACCGCUUGUUAUUUGAUUAAUCGUAUGCCCUCCUCUGUCUUACACGAUCAGAUUCCUCACUCCCUUCUUUUCCCUGACCAACCACUUUAUUUCCUUCCUCCUCGUGUCUUUGGUUGUACUUGCUUUGUUCAUAUUCUCACUCCUGGACAGGACAAGCUUUCCGCCAAAGCCAUGAAGUGCCUCUUCUUGGGAUAUUCCAGACUUCAGAAGGGUUAUCGUUGCUAUUCCCUUGAGACUCAUCGAUACUUUAUCUCCGCUGAUGUCACCUUCUUUGAGGACUCACCAUUCUUUUCCACCACUUCUGAGUCUCUUCCUGUUUCUGAAGUCUUGCCCAUUCCCAUUGUCUUCCCACCUGAUGCUAUGCCCCCUCGACCACUUCAGGUUUAUCAUCGUCGCCCUCGUGUCGUUGCUCCUCUCCCUUUUCCUGAGGCACCUGCUGACUCACUUCCUAUCCCUUCGACUUCACCUGCCCCGGCUCUGCCUUCUCCUAAUGACUUACCCAUUGCUGUUCGAAAAGGUACUCGCUCUACUCGUAAUCCUCAUCCUAUUUACAAUUUUUUGAGUUAUCAUCGAUUAUCUUCACCCUAUUCUGCUUUUGUUUCUGCUAUAUCCUCUGUUUCUCUUCCAAAGAGCACCCAUGAAGCUCUUUCCCAUCCAGGCUGGCGACAGGCAAUGGUGGAUGAAAUGGCUGCUCUGCACUCUAAUGGCACUUGGGAUCUUGUUGUUUUACCCUCUGGUAAAUCUACAGUUGGUUGUCGUUGGGUUUAUGCAGUUAAGGUUGGUCCUGAUGGUCAGGUUGAUCGCCUUAAGGCCCGCUUAGUUGCUAAAGGCUAUACUCAAGUUUAUGGUUCUGAUUAUGGUGACACAUUCUCACCUGUUGCCAAGAUUGCUUCUGUCCGCUUGCUUCUCUCCAUGGCUGCUAUGUGUUCUUGGCCUCUUUAUCAGUUGGAUAUUAAAAAUGCCUUCCUUCAUGGUGAUCUUGCCGAGGAAGUUUAUAUGGAGCAACCUCCUGGUUUUGUUGCUCAGGGGGAGUCUGGUUUAGUGUGCAGGUUACGCCGUUCUCUAUAUGGCUUGAAACAAUCUCCUCGAGCAUGGUUUAGCCGUUUUAGUUCUGUUGUUCAAGAGUUUGGCAUGCUUCGCAGUACAGCAGACCAUUCAGUUUUUUAUCAUCAUAACUCCUUGGGGCAGUGUAUUUAUCUGGUUGUUUAUGUGGACGACAUCGUCAUUACAGGCAGUGAUCAGGAUGGUAUUCAGAAACUAAAGCAACAUCUUUUUACCCACUUUCAGACCAAAGACUUGGGGAAACUCAAGUAUUUCUUGGGAAUUGAGAUAGCUCAAUCCAGUUCUGGUGUGGUCCUUUCCCAAAGGAAGUAUGCUUUAGACAUCCUGGAAGAAACCGGUAUGUUAGACUGUAAACCGGUAGACACACCUAUGGAUCCGAAUGUCAAACUUGUACCAGGACAGGGGGAGCCUUUAGGAGACCCUGGGAGAUAUCGACGGCUCGUAGGUAAAUUGAACUAUCUCACCAUUACUCGUCCAGACAUUUCUUUUCCUGUGAGUGUUGUUAGUCAAUUCCUACAGUCACCAUGUGAUAGCCAUUGGGAUGCCGUAAUCCGUAUUCUUCGAUAUAUCAAAAGUACACCAAGCCAAGGUGUAUUGUACGAGAACAGAGGUCAUACUCAAGUUGUUGGUUACACAGAUGCAGAUUGGGCUGGCUCACCCACAGAUAGACGUUCCACUUCAGGGUACUGUGUUUUUAUUGGAGGUAAUCUAAUAUCUUGGAAGAGUAAGAAACAAGAUGUAGUGGCCAGAUCUAGCGCUGAAGCCGAGUAUCGAGCUAUGGCUUUGGCAACAUGUGAACUCAUAUGGUUGAGACAUCUUCUUCAGGAGUUGAGAUUUGGAAAGGAUGAACAGAUGAAACUCAUCUGUGAUAACCAGGCCGCAUUACAUAUUGCAUCCAAUCCAGUCUUUCAUGAAAGGACCAAGCAUAUUGAAGUUGACUGUCAUUUCAUUAGAGAGAAGAUCGCAUCAGGAUGUGUUGCUACAAGUUUUGUCAAUUCAAAUGAUCAACUAGCAGACAUCUUUACUAAAUCUCUCAGAGGCCCUAGGAUUAAAUAUAUUUGUAACAAGCUUGGUGCAUAUGACGUAUAUGCUCCAGCUUGAGGGGGAGUGUUGAAUAUAAUGUAUUUAUAGUAUAUUAUCUUUCCUUGUUAAUAUAGGUCACAUGUAUGGUAGUUAAGACUCCUAGCCUUGUAUAUAUAUAUAUAUCUCAAUUGUAAGUAGACAUUACAUGAAUGAGAAUUAAGGUUUUUCUCCUUUCUCUCUCUCUCUUUCAACAAAAAAAAAAAAAAAAUAUAUAUAUAUAUAUAUAUAUAUAUAUAUAUAUAUAUAUAUAUAUUAAAACCAAGAAAAAUAAAUGAACUUGGAAAUCCCUCUUUUGAUAACAAGCUCAAUAACAUAUUCAUAUCAAAACCUAAGGCUGAAACUGACUUUUCCACAAGAGAAAAGCAAGGAGAGAGGGAAGGAAAAGGAAAUAAAGAACAGUAAUUGUUUUGCUCACCUGCAAGUAAAGCCUCAAUACUUUGAUAUUGUAUGGUUGAUGUUCCCAGAGAAACAUCUUCUCUGGGAUCCCCAUCUAGAUUUUUCAUCUCGAUUUUCUUGAUCCUCUCAAGCAAUACAAACUUAUCCGCUUCCCACACACAUUCAAGGGUGACAAAUUCUUCAUUUGUUGGAUAAUACUCCCUAAAAAACUGCACCAAUUAUCCAGAGAGAGAGAAAGAAGAACCUAAUUUUGAGUCAAAGGGUAACAGCAAAAAGAUAUUUACCAAAAGAAUUUGCCAAAUGUAUAGAGCUGCAAAACCAACCUCAAUUCCUGCUUGAGUCAAUUUUACAGACUGCUCCUUUUGGGAGAGAGAAGAAACCAUGUUGAAGACAGAAACAACAUCAAGUAGUGUCUGGAAAAAAAACAAAGAGCAAUCCUAAGUUUUGCCAUGGUGUCAACUAAAACAACGCACCAAGUAAUUCAGAUUGUCCUAUUAGGCACACUAAAUUAAGACACCAUACAGUCAUCCUUCCAACAAUGGCCUAUUCCUAAGAGUGAAUGGUAGUAAGCAAAUGCAAACAUUGGUGAAAAGAAAGCAUUUGUCCAAUGAGCUACAUCAAAGUCCCAAAUAACAAGGACAGACUUAUAUCUGUCCUUGCAACAUUUGACACCUUGAUUCCAAGUAAGAUUUUGCCACCAUCUCUUUGUCCAUCCAAUUUUUAGGGGGUGUUGCUGUGUCAUAUGCUUUGUAUCAAAACAAGGCACCCAGGCCCUCUUCAUACAACAUACAAUUUUCACCCUCUUGUUAUGUUGGCACUAGGAUGAGGCCAUCAGCUAGACCAUUGAGAUUGAUCACCUUAUUGCCAUAAACUAACAAGAUUCGAAAACCAAUUCAGAUUUUUUUUUUUUUUUUUUUUUGGCUAAGCAAAAACCAAUUUAGAAAUUUUAAUUCUUCCUCAAAAUGAAAGCAUACUUGCUGAACCAAAACUCGAAGGCGAGCAAGAAGAGCCAAGAUUGUUAGAGAGAAUCCCAUGAAAAAUGACCGAGCAAGCAAAGUAGAUAUCUCACUGUAGAAUAGUUAAGAAGAAAAAAUUAAUAAUUUAAUUUUCCCAAUUCAUCCCCACAUGAUCAAACCAAUAUUCUAAUACAAUGAUGAUGAGCAUGCAACCACUCAAAAUAGGAUGGUUUUAACAAGCCAAGACAGACUGAUAUUUGGCCAGUUUGCCUCAAGAUGGCAGAAGAAAUUGCAUCUAAAAAAAAGGUGCAAAACAUAAGAUAGAAAAAUCCAACUAUAUUUGAAGAGUGGAAAAGAUCAAAAGAGUGCCCUUUUCUUUUUCUUUUUCUACGAUCCUUGUAAGCAAAGGAAAAAAAAGGCACGCACACAAACAAACAAAGAGACAUGGUGGCCAACUGAUUAGGUCCAGAAAACCUAUCCCAGAAAGAUAUCUAAUUACUGGACUUGAAAAGGAAAUGGAAAUAAUUAAAACCUAGAGACCUGCAAAUAAUAUAGCGAAACAAGAAAUGGCAGAACAAAAAGAAAAUUUGAUGAACCAGAAAUUAAAUCUGGCAGAAAAGAGGAUCAUAGAAUUUUUUAGUGAUAAAAAACUAAAAAGACCCAGACCAUGCUAUAUGCCUUAAAAAAGAAAUAUAUAUGAUAAACCAAUAUUGCAUUACAAUUGUAUACCUUUAAACUAUACUUAAAGGCUUAUAUUUUGGAGAAAUACAGUUUCUGAUGAAGCUCAUAUUUUGGAGAAAUACAGUUUCUGAUGCAAACAAGUCUACUAAAACUACCAGGUAAGUAGAAAGACAGCUACACCGUUAUGAUGGGAAAUGAUUGGUAUAGCCCUUGUUUAGGAUGUGGUAAAAAAGAUGUGCUAAUUUAUAAGUCACUUCCACAACCAAUUCAAUCAAGUCAUUUUGAGAUCUAAGAAAACUAAUCAAAUGUCCAAAUUAGUUCUAUUAGUAUCACAAAAAGUCCCAUAACAAUAACAAAUUAACCAACUAAUGAAGGAUACAUAGCUGCCUUCAACAUCGGUUCCACCAUCUGCAACAGAAACAGAGAAAACAUUAGGAAGAGUAAGCACAACCUAAGGACUUAGUGGUUUCCUCACUACACAAUAUAUGGGAGAUUGUGUAAUCUAGCGUAUCUGAAGCUGCAUUGCAAGUAGCUGCCUCCUAGAUUUGACAUAAUAAAAAUACUGAUCUGAUAUAUGUAUCUGAUAUAUGGUAGCACUUGCACCAAUGUACCCUUUUCAAAACCACAGAAGUCAUAUUAGAAAAAUCUAACUUUUCCGAUCAAAGAGGCUUGUAUCAGAAGACAGAUUGUUGAAAUACCAAUUUGCAUGAUUAUACAAGGUGGCUAAAUGGUUGAACAGGAAAGACCAGCAAACACUGCACUUGCAUUUGGAUCAAGAAAAAGAAAGAAUCUAUUCAAAGACAUUCGGAUUCCAAUUGUAUUCAUUUAACAAUGUCAGCAAGGUUAAUCUUAGUUUAAAAUGCUAAAAAUAUCCCAAAGAAGUUAGGUAAGUUUGGAUUAGGGCAAGAAUGCACUACUGUGUCCCUUCUCCAAAAUUACAAAGCAUCUAACAUCAACAUUUUCCACUCCCAUGUGCCAAUUCUGGUGAAUAAUAGGGCUGUUUUUACUCCCCUUGGAAUUGAAAAUCCUGUAUUUACUAUCUUUGUAAUUUUUUUCUCCUUUUUUCUUAUGGAAUCUUUGUCCUUCUUAGUGUAUCCCUUUUAAAUUCAAAAGAAAUUUUCUUGUUUUCUAUUAAAAAUUUAUUGGCUGACAGUAAGCCAGAUUUCCUGGUGAGGUUGUACUGUGAUGAUAUCAUGUCAAUGUCACAACAAUAUGGCAUUUUUCUUCCUUUCCUCCCCCAUCUUCUUCAUUGAUACUCCCUCUACCAACACUUAGACCCUUGACUUUUCAGAUUAUUACACUUGUUCAGAGCUCAGAAAAAUGCAUGAAAAGCUGCUUUUGCAGUUCUUUCAGUGUGACCUGAAUAGUAAAAAAGGCUAAGUUGGGAUCAUGGCUGCUGAUGCCAUACUCAAGACAUAUCAUACAUAUGAGUGAGAACCCUAGGAGUACAAAUAUCUCUAAAUAAAAAAGUACACAUGGCAAACUGCAAUGGAGUAAUGCAUUAAGGAACUUAGUGAUAUCAUAGAAAAAGAAAAGUAUGUUAAUGACGAAUCAAGCUGACCUUUCCUUAACUGAGGGAGAUGUGACUGCUGAAGAAACAAUCAAAUGUGAAAAAGGAAGAAACAGGAUAUAAGAGGGAGGAAGAAAACAAAGAACAUACUUCAGAUAGUAAACGUGCAGCUCCCAGAAGCCGCUCCAUAAAAUUAUAUUUACCACCAUCGCCUUUUCUCUUCUUUAAACUGCAUAGAUAUAAAUAAAUAAAUAGAUAAGUGAAAAAACAAGCAAACAUGUGUGAGCAUAUGUAUGUACACUCAGAAACUUAUGAACAUCCUUUUGCUUCAAAGUACAUUAUUUAAAUCUCAACAUAGACAUUUACCCCUAUCAAAUAGUGAGUAAAUUAGAUGGGGAAAAAAUGAGGACAAACAUAGACUUCAGUUCAAAAGAGAACCAAACCAUCCCUCUGUAAAGCUACCACGUGAUGGUUUGAGAUAUUUGUGAUACUAUGCCAAAGCCCCAAUGUUAAAGGCAAUGUAGAAAUAGAUGGUCAAUCAAUUCUCCACUUCUCAUGCAUAAAAUGCACCAAUGAAGACUGAGAGACUUGUAGGAUCUGCUUAAUUGUAGGAUGUCAUUGGUGUUUACCUUUUUGUGUACCACUAACCUAGCAAAGGCCUUAACCUUUGAAGGGGCUUUUGAUUUUCAAACAAAUUUGGUCAAAAGGAACGGGAGUGGACUUGAGAAAUUGGACAAGGUCAAGAAAAAGAUUUUGUUGAGAAUAAACCUAAGAAUAUAAGUCUUUUAAGAUUUUUAAUUUCCAUGUCAAUGAAAUUGCGACGAAAGUUAAAAUUCUAAGAAAUUGGAGAGGAAUUAUCAAGGACAACUAAGAUGGUGAUAUUUUUUUUUUUUGAUAAAUAUCACGAAUAUAUUAAAGGGCAAAGGCCACCAAGCAUACAGGACGUAUACAAAUCUGCCUCAAAACGAGAGCACAAAAAAACACGCACCCUUACCCUCCCUUAAGUGGCCGCUAGCCACUCCAAAAAACCUAAGAGUGAAGAGGACUCCUCUCCAAUAUACACCCUAGCCCAACUCCACAAGGUACAAACAAAAUAAUUUUUGAGUUUCUGUAUAUUUAACACCCCUCCCUUUAAAGCUAACCUAUUCCUUUCCUUCCAUACCGUCCAAAAAAUACACAACGGGAUAGAAUUCCAAUUUUUUUUCCUCUUUUUCCCCACAAAGGGGCCCCUCCAACUGAAUAACGCCUCCUUCACCAACUCUGGGAACACCCACUGAACCCCCACAAGGGCAAAAAUAAUUUCCCAUAAGGCCCUUACCACUAUACAAUGUAAAAGAAUGUGAUUUACAUUCUCCUCUUCACAACCACACAAAAAACAUCGGUUAGGAAACUGCCAGCCCCAUUUUUGAAGCCUAUCCAGGGUGAGAAUCUUCCCCCACGCGGCUUCCCAAGCAAAAAAAGCCGCUUUGGUUGGGACCUUGUGGUGAUAUUUUUCAAUGUGACAACUCUAUAGAGACCUGAAAAUUGUGAACACAAAUGGUUAUCACCCCACCACAAAUCUUCUCAGAAUUGAAUUCUCUCCCCGUUACCCACCACAACGCAAGAAUAUGAGGAAAAUUCCUGGCAGACUUGUGCAAUAGCCUUCUAAGGACAUCCUGUGACCAUCUAACCAGAAUGUUGGAGUCUCAUCCAUUAGGAUGUGUCCUAUAAAUGCUUGAAAUAACUUGAUGUCAUAGGCCACAAUUUUCCUUAGGGAACCUGUAUAGCAACUUCCCUAAAUGAGCACGAUUUCUCAAGGAAGUCUUCUCAAUUCCCAGAACUCCAAACUCCUUUGGCCUACACACUAUGUACCAACUAAUAAUAAUCUUUUUUACCCUCCCCAAUCUUUGACCAAAGAAAAUCUCUUUACAUUUUCUUGAUCUUUAAUCCAUUUGAUUUUUCAAAGCAUGAAUUCCAAACCAAAUGAACAUAGGAGUAUUUACUUGGAUGAGUUUUCAUAUAUGUACAAUAUUCUUCUCUAAAUUGAUUCUUUUUUACUUCUGGAAAUGCAGAGAAAAACCAUUUUCUUUUUUCUUUGUUAUUUUCUAAUCAAAAUUCAAAUAUAAUGUAUUCUUUAUCAAUUGUAAAUUUUCUUAAUGUUAUAAAUGAUUUUUUUUUUUGUUUUGGAGCAUCAUGUUGAAUUUGAGACUAAGUUGGAGAUAAUCUUGGGCACUGAUUUUCCUAACAAAACGGUCUUGGAAUAUCAUGUUGAAAGUUUACUCCUCAUAGUUCUUGGUUUCUAGUUCUAGCCAAGGUAUAACUAAAAGAAGAUCUUGAGGAAGAAGUUCUUGAUUUAUAUUAUUGACUCCUAGAUAUUAGAGAAGUGCAUUCAAUGGUUACUAAUCCUUCUUUGUCUUCAAGUUGUUUUCAAUUUUAAGAGUGAUUAAAUUUUUGAAGUCCCAUUUUAAUGAGGUUGCCAACUGUUCUAAUGGUUACCACAUAGGAACCAUUGUUGAUUCAUGUUCAUCGUUUGCUUGGAAUAUCAAAGUUUCUCUUUAAGGGAAGAAACCAAACAUUUAGGAUAGAGAGAGGUUGUCAUAGCUUUCUAAUAUAUUGAUUUGUCAAAAAGUAGAUUCACUCUAACUCACCAAGAACUAUUCAAGAUAAGAUCUGUUGAUUUGCCAAAAAGCAAAUUCCCUUUAACUCGUUAAAGAGUUGUUCAAAAUAAGAUCUGUCGAAAGCACAUUCUCUUUAGCUUGAUGAAUUUCAACACAAGCUUAAAACAUUUUGAAGUUUGUUACUCUGAUUAUUAAAAGACCCUCUGCAAGGAAACCAUUGACAAAAAAAAUUAAAAAACCUCUUUGAAAUCAAACCUUAUUAUCUCUUCUCCCCUUAUAUAUAUAUAUAUAGAUUUCUUUCGUUGUAUACCUUUCAUAUUCCAUACUUCUCAACUGAUUUGUAAACUCUGUAAUCAAGAUCUUUGUAAGUCAAGUUUUUUUCAAAUAUUUUGUUUUUUUCAAGUAUUUGUUCCUAUUAUUAUUUUACUCUUUUUGUUUUUAUUAUGGUUUUACUAUUUUUACCUUGUUCAAUUUUACUCUAUUGUUUAAUUAUAAAGAUCCUGAGUAAAUGGUAUCAGAGCCAUAAGUUUUAUUUAGUUUAAAUUAAGUUGAAACUUUAAUUAAAUUAAACUAAGGAAUAGUGUUGAUUAGCCCAUCAAGCCAAGAUAUAAGGGGUGAUCGCAAAGAUAGUCUUACUAGACUUUGGAAUUAGUGAAACAAAGGUAUAACAAGCUUUAAAAUAAAUGAGUACUCUAUUGAGAAGGCUCGCACAUAAUAAGGGUACUAAUAGUUUCUCUAAAAUCGAUAAAAAUAUUAGCUCUCUAAAAACUUCUUCAAGACUAGAUAAUCCCAUGUAUCAACAAGGUAGCGCUUAUUUUAAGGGGCUACUUAUGGAUGCUAAAAGUAACAUUUGAAGGUCAAAUGCAACUUCUAGGAGUGUUUGGGUGGAAUUCUCAAAUGUAAGCCUCAUAUAUCAUAUUGGGAAAGUGGAGAGGCACAUGCUUUUCUUCAAAUUUAAAAAUGUAUAAAUUUCAAAGGAAACAUGUGUUGUAGGUUCAUCCUAUUCAAGCAUCUCAUAAUAAUUGUACGCAUCAAACCUUAUUUUAAUUCUUUCCAAAUUAAUACAAAUCAAUAUGUCCACAAUUUUGUGUGAUUGUGCAAGACAUGGAAUUUAUCUAUACAAGUAUAGUCCCAAUUAUGAAUAUCACAAGAUUGAGUCCUCUUAAGGCAAUCCACUAGUGAUUUUUUAGAUAUGAAAUAAUAAUAUGUAACCAUUUUGGUCCGUAUCUAUGCUUAGUGGACAAUACAGUAGACAUGCUUUUGCACCAACACAAAUGCACAACUCCCUAUAAUCUAAAUAUGCAAAAAUGGUAAUGCAUAAUUAUCUAUAUGUGUAGACUUUGAGUUCUAUGGAGGCAUAUUUGUUUAUUUAUGCAUUGUGCACAUGCAAAUCAAUGUUAUUUCAACUUAUCAUCUAUUUCAAAGUUAAUAGGAAUGAUAAAGUAACCAAAAUUCAUGCCACAUCAAUGCUUCAAGAAUUGUCACAAGGUAAAAUGAGAAAUACAUUAAGAGUGGAUCCUACAAUGGAAAUAUAAAACACACCCACCCUUCUCCACAUUUUCAAAACAAAUAAAAGGAAAAAUGCCUUUGGGUGUCAAAAUUGGAUUCAACAAGAGUUUCAUGUCAAUAUGUCUACAACCAUUUAUAAAAGUAUUUUGAAGCAAAAACUACGAAGAUCGUUACCAAAUUUGUCAUUCUAUUUAAGUUACUUCGCAUUCAGAUAUCAGCCAACAUGGGAAAACCAGCCUACCAAAUAAAUAAGGCAAAUAUAGAGAAUUAGAAUGUACCUUUCUAAAAGAUGGACCUUUUGUUGGGGUUUCUUUCCAUGGAUAACUUGAAAGCAUGAACUCAAAAGCUCUUCCAAGUUAGCUGAUUGCAGGAGUUUCAAGUCCCUCCUCACCUAAAACCAUAAACAAGUAUGGUAAACUACAAUGAACCCAUUAAAAAAUAUAUAGAUAGUCUAAUGCUCAAUUUGAUUACAGAAAAUUUAUAUAGGAAAAGAAAAGAAAUUGAACUUUUGAAAUUUGAUAAAAUCCACAGUUUGAAAACAAACAUAUUUCAGCUAUAUGUCUUAAUCAUGGACAAUUUCACAUUUUUAUGAAAAUUGUACACAAAUAAAAAUUACUAUGAGCUAUACAAAGCCUAGUCCUCAUUUUUACUUACUAAGAAAAUGCACGAAAAGAAAAGAAAUCAAACGAGUUUAUAUUUGCAUCCACUUAAUCUCUCCACAUAUCCACCUUAUUUACAAAUCCACCCUAAAACAUAAAACUUCUUAAUACAUACACCUAUGUAUUUUUAAUAUACCAAAAGUACUUUCACCAUUCCUCUCUUCCACACCACACUUCUUCUACCUUCUUCUGUUAUUGUUCUUCUCUUCAACAAAACCCUAGGGCAAAAUAUUAUUCUUCCAAGCUUGUUUGUCACCCAAAAAGUGUUUUAAGUUCAAAGUUAAUUCCAAUAUCUUCUAUGCAUUUUAGUUUGUAUCCACGCAUUAACAUUAUAUUUGUUUCACAUAAAUAUAUUUUAGGGCUUAUCAUUUAUGUAAUUAUCAAUAACUAUUUAUUGUAAAAAUAGUUAGGAAAUAUUUAGGAAUAAUUUAGAAGUGAUUUAAAGGUGAAAACAUUUUAAAAAAUGGAAAGGGAUAAAAAACAUGAUGGGCUAUCUGGACCUCAAAAGGUUGAAUGCUCUUAAGGAUGUCUAGAGGUAUAAUAUCAGACACCCUUGAGAGUGUUCGGAGGUAUAGAACCAGAAACUUCAAAAACCUUCCAACCCUAAAAUUACGAACACUUUUCUCGAUCCCUUUAUUUUUAAGCUCUAAAAAAAUGGAAAAAAAACAAAGAACAAAAAAAUCAUACAUAUACAAUUCUAGUAUAAUUAAAGAUGAUUAUUUGCUUAUUCAUUGUUCAAAAAAACUUCUUCCAAAUAUGUUGUUAGUGUUAUUAGAAGAAAUUGAGAAAGAAGAUGAGUGUGCAUUGAUUUGAAAUGAUAUUUUGGCCUUUCACUAAUGGAUAUUUUUGUCCUCAAAAAAAUCAUAAUCUAGGCAGAUACGUAAAGAGAUAGUUGGAUUCAAAUACAAAUUCUCAACCUUUGACUAUUGGUUUUUUUUCCUUUAUAUGAAAUCUAGGUGGUGCCUCUAUUUGCAGCAAUGUACCUUACUCAAGGUGAGUCUUACAUUCCCACAAAUCAAAAUAAUGUAAAAAGGUAAACAAAAGAAAUUAAAAUUUUCUUUUUUGUCACAGGUUUCUGACCAACCAAACAGAGAAUAAAGCCCAUCAAAAGAGGGGAGAAAAGGUACCUUUAGAAGGUAUUGAAAGUAGGAGCAUCUACGGUGUUGAUUCUUGUUCUUGUAUACAAUUCUUUCAAGAAUGGCACACUCAGAUUGGAGCUGACCAGUGAAAGAGUUCAAUCUUUCUUCAACAACUUCAAUUCCUGAAUCCAUGCAUGGGACUGCAAAAGAACAUUGAGAAUAACAAGAGGCAAAACAAAAACACAAGAACCAAAUUAGACUGGGGUUAGGGCAUCAAACAAGAGUUGAUCUUCUUGCUACAUUGAACUUUUAGGGUUUAGGACUUUAUGAAACCGAAACCUUAGAAAUGUUGACCAUACAUCCAAAAAUUUAUUUUAUAAUUUUGGUUGCAGAGAUGGUAAGCAAAUUAUUUGAGAAAAUUUAUUCAUAAUCUAAUUUCAAGGUCAGUCCCAUUCAUAACAACAAUGCUAUGCUCUUUACAUAGAAAUUUCUCAUAUUUUGCUUCCAAAAAAAGAAAAAGCCCAUCUGUGAAUUUUAAGUAAAGUGGCAUGUUCCUAUUCAAUCAUCUUUGAGAAAAAAUUUACAAUUCAAAUCAUGGUGAAAAUUUUAAAAAUUUUACAAUUCAAGAUUUUAAUUACUUUUUUCAUGUUUUCUAUCAUAUUUUAUCUGUAUCUAAACUAAAUCUAUUUUUAUACAAGAGAACAUUCCCAAAUAGAAAAGACGGUCAACCUCAGAAAAAUUUCAAUCUGGGCUGUAAUCGGCAAUAGCUCCACGGCUGUUAAAAAAGAAACACUAAAUUGAUAGCUUACAGCACUAGCAUAUCCAACUGAUAAAGCACACAAGUGAAAUCCGACCCUCCGUUUGGUUACCAAGAAAAGAAGGCAAAAUAAAUAAAUAAAUAACACACACACAUUUUGAUUACUAGGCUCUCUCUAUCUUAGCCGCCCAAAAUCCAAAAAAAAAAAAACCUCAGAUCAAUUAAGCCAAAGAGUCUUAUGAGUUUCAGAUAAAGUGCAAUGUUUAGCAUUCUCGAACCCUAGGUGGUGAAAAUUUUACGAUUGGAAAUUUUCUAUCAGUUCCCUGUUAUUUUCUCAGCAUCCAAACGAUUGUAUCAUACGUAAAUCUAUUGCUUGAAUUGGGGAAAACAGAUUGGAACGGUACCUUUAACACAGAGAUCGAUCGUCUAAGGAUGAUUGAAUUCUUUUGUGUAACGAGAAGUUGAAUGCUUUUGUGCAGUGACCGGUGUACUCUGAAGCUUGAACUCAGAGAUCGACUGAAACGCAGCGUUUGAAGGCUAAAUGAUUCGUUGCAUUUGUGUAAACAGAAACUUAGGUCAGUUCACUCGGACAAGAUGGGUUGAGCAUGGGGCCGGGACAAUUUUUGAACUAUUGGGCUGUAAGUGGGCCUGAUGUCUAAUUUAUGUCAUGACCAAGUUGAAUCUCGCCUUACUUCACUAGUCAGAUUUUCAAUCCAUGCUCAAUUUAAUAUAGUUUGGUUGAUUUUAAAAAAUAUAUAUAAGUUAAUUUUAGCAAUUUCCACAAUUCUUUCAUUUUGAUUCUAUGGUUAAAAUUAAUUUUCUAUUAAUUUAAUAAUUAUAAUUGAACAAACAGUAGCCUUGAAUAUUCGAUCGAGAGAAAAUCAAUAUCUCAAAAGUUUUCUAAUUUGAACAAAAUUGUUAAUUAUAAUGUAGACUUAUGAACAAAAUUGUUAAUUAUAAUGUAGACUUAUGGGGUGUUUGUUUUUUUUACUUUUUGCUGAAAGCAAUUAGUUUUCAGAAUUUAAGUUAUUUGUUUUUCUAUUUUUUUCAUAACUUAUUAUAAAAUUUUUACUAAACAGAAAAAGCCGAUAUAUGUAGUUUUUUCUAAAUAGAAAAAAUAACAUAUUGGUUUUUUUAUUUUUAAUACUUAAUAGAAAUAAAAUACUACAAAAAUAAAUAACAUAAUAUUUAACUAUUAAGCAUUAAGGUUGUAUUUAGAAUUAAGUAAAAAAAAAAAACAAACACCACCUUAUUAUCCUAACAAAUACAAAUUAUUCAUCUUUAUUUUUAUUUUUAUUUUUAUUUAAGUUAUAUGAUAUUGACCAUCAAAAUGUAAUAAUAUAAAAAAGGUGAUUAUCUUGAAAGCAUAAUUUCAAUCAUGUUGAUAAAAAUUACGUUAAAAUAAUUUCCUAAAUUGUUUCAUUUUAGGAUAAUAAAAUAAGUUUUAAUUGAUUUAAACAUUUGAUUUACUUAUAAAAAUGUAUUAUAAAAUAACUACUUUAUUUAUAUUUUUUUAUUUUUAGAAAUUAAUUUAAGAAUUAUUUACUUUUGAUGUUACUCUUAACCACUUCUUAAGAAUUAUUCUCAUGUGUGGUGUUGAAAUUUUUUAAUACAUAAAAUAAUGAAUAAAAUGUCUUGUUUGACUGUUGGAUAAUUUGAGUUGGGUCCUAACCAUUCUAUAGUGGGUAUCUUACCAUCUUCCAUUAAUUACUAUAUUGAAAAGUAUUUUCAAAACAAUCCUAAAAAUCAGAUUUUGAGAACAAAUUUUUUAAACCAUUUAUUAAUGUUUUAUAAAACAAAAGUCUAUUUGAUAAUUUUAAAUAUCAUUACUUUGUUUCCUAUGUUUUUAAAUAUGUUAAAGUAAUUUUACUACUUUAUUUUUAAUUAUUUUUAUAUUUGUAUAAUUAUUUUUAUAACAAUAUUUAAAAAAUAAGUUAAAACAAAUAAAUAAAUAUAUAUAUAUAUAUAUAUAUAUAUAUAUAUAUAUAUAUAUAUUAUGUUAGUCCAAGGGUUCUCCUAAUCGGGUUUUGAUGAUAACAAACCAUGGUUAAGUAACUAAUUGGUUUAAUGUUUAAGAAUCUUAGGUAUAAACUCGGAAAUUCAUAAAAGGACCAAAUGGAUACAAGAUCGAGACGCUUGGAAGACUUGAGAUCAUAGGAAAUGAAUGUAAAAUGAUAGCAUGAGUGCACUUAGGAUGUUUAUACCUUUUCAUGCAUCUUAGAAAACUCGAUUUAUUCUUUAAAACUUGAUUUUCUUUAAAACCCGAGUUUUAUCAAAUAUACCUUAGGCAAAUUAAUUCAAAAUUGGCAUAUUAACUCACCUAUAGACCUUGCCUAAGUGUUAGAAAAGAAAGGAAUCAAAAAAUAGGUUUUUCGGGGUCAAAAAGGCUCAAUCGGUCGAGGCUAAGGCCAACCGGUUGAGGAACCGGUCGACCGGCUGGGGUCGUUCGGUCGAGAACCGGUCGAGAAAGGUUAAAAACUUUCUCUCUCUCCCAGUAACCUUCUCUUCCCGGUCGAGGUGAUUCUUUUACCGGUCGAGGUCCGGUUGAGGCAACGGUAACCUGUCAUGCAUUAAAUGCUCCAACGGCUAGUGAACCGGUCGACCCCUAGCUCGACCGGACGAUGUUGCUUUUUGCUGUUUUUGACUCCCGAGCUUAAAAACCUAUAAAUUGAGAGCUCCACUUCAUUUGUUGAAAAGAGAACAAUUGCAUUCAAAGCCUACCUACCUGUUCUUGAUCAAAAAGCUCUCAUUUCUUUUUUUAGUGUAUUAAACCAUCACUUGCAUAUUCUUAGUGCACUCUUGUAAAUCAUCCUAGCUUCCUCUUGUACUUGAGCCAUCCUUAAGCUAGGUUGAGAGUUUCAUCUUUGUGUAAACUGAGUGUGAAAGCCUUCAAGUGGUUCAAAUCUUGAAAAGAUUGUGUAAGAGCCCAUUGGAGUCGGAAUCCAAGUGUAAGAAAAUUCAAAGCUUGAUUGAAACUUCAAGUUAGUGGAACCCUCACUCGGUUAGAAGAUUGAGGAGAGUAGACAUAGGCAAGAGAGUGCCGAACCACUAUAAACCCGAGAUUGAAUUCUCUAACUUUGUCUCUUUCCUUUAUUUAUUUUGUGCAUAUAUUAUUGUGUGGAAAAAGAUUUUGAAAAACCCAAUUCACCCCCCCUUUUAGGUAUUUUCUUUAAUUAUUCAUAGCCUUUGUUUUAUCAUAUUAUUUAUUGUAUUGAGAAAAAAAAUUAUUUUAUGUUUUUUUGUUGUUAAAUAUAUUUUUCUAAUUUUUUUUCUAAAUAAUAAAAAAAUGAUUUCUAAAACCGUUACUAAGUAAGAGGUUAAUUUAAUUGAGAUAAGCUAUUCAAGGAGGAAGAUUUUUCCUAAGUAUUGGAAUAAGGGUUUGACUAUUCUUUUUAGGCUAAAUUUUUUACAUAAUUUCACCUGGGGUUUAUCUACAAAUUCAAUGGACUAAUUAUUUCAAAUUAUGUUUUAAAAUUAUUAAUGAAUUUAGCACAAAUUCACAUUUGAUUUAAAAUUUAUUUUCUCUAGUGAAAAAAAUUGGAAGAACAAUUAUCUAUUUUACUUUGUUUUUAAAUAUUGUUUUUAAAGAACAGAAAAAUGGCAACAUGUCUAAAUAGGUUUUUAUUAUUUAAUAAAAGAAAUUCAAGGAUUUUUUUAAAAUAAAAAUAAAUAAUUAUUUUAAACUACAUGUAAUAUGAGAGUUUUUUUAAAAUAAAAAUUAUUUUAAACUAUAUGUAUGCAUAUAAUUAGUAAUUUAUUUAUUUUUUCAAUUUUUAUUCUCAUUCUUCGUUAACAUUGAAAUGAAAACAAAUUAUUAUUCUAGUUUUAUAUUUUUAUAUGUGUCCAAAUAUAAGAAUUAGAAUCACCAAAAUAAUUUAUAUAAGAGGAAAUGAGAGUAAAAACAAAACAUUUAUUCUCAUAUACCAAAUAUGACCUAAAAUAUUUGACAUAGGGUAAAAAUAUAAUAUUUUUGUAUAUUCUUUAAGCUAUGUUUGGUUUUCAUAGAAAAAAAAAACGGAUUUAGAAUCAAUAAAUUAUUUUUAUAUGUUUAUUUAAAUUUAUUUUACUUAUUUUAUUUCAUUAUAUAAAAAUUAAGUAAUUUUAAAGUAUAUAAAUUUUUAACUAAUUUUAAUUAUAUAUUUAUUUAUGUAUUUUUCACCCUGUGAAACCGAACAUUGGAAACCAUUUUCUUUUAACAUAUUUUUUUCUUUUCAUAAUGAUUUAUAGUACCAAACAUAGGAUAAAGGUAUGGGGACUUUUAGGCUAUGUUUCUUUUUCCGAUUUCAAGUUCAAUGAGAUUUAAAACUUGUCGUGUUAAGUUCCCUUUAACAAACUUUAGCACUUUUGUCCUCAUUGGCUCAGCGAUAUUUAAUUCCUUAUUAAUCCACUACAACGGGGUGAGUCAAUGUUAAGAAAUGUGUCUUUGCUAUUAGUCUACCAAAAGUAUCAACAAGUUGAUGUUUACUAGUUGAAAUAAAAUAUUAUAGGAAAUCGUGUGGGGGAACAUGAAGAAACAGUACGCGUGCAAUGUGGUUCAUUUAAUCCGCUAAUCCUAUCCGAAUCCAACCUAUCUUUGAGUGAGUUGGCACAAUUGUUUUUAAUAUUUAAUUUGAAUUUUGAUUAAAUUUUUUUAAUCUGAACUCAAUUUCAAUUAAAUUUUGAUCACCAAUAAUUUGAAACUAAUUCAAACUUGACUUAAUAUUUUUAUAAUAUUUACGAUAUGAUCUUGUAUAAUAAUAUUUUUUUAAAUAUCAAAUUAUAAUAUAGUUUUUAGAGAUACAUAAAUUUAUUUAUUUUAUUAUUAUUAUUAUUAUUAUAAAAUGUUAUCAUAAUUACUAUUCAAAAUUUAAUAAAAAAGUUUUAAAAAAUAUUAUUAAUGGAUUUUAAAUCAUUCAUAUCACCCAAUUAAUUAUAAUCCCAAUGAUUCAAAUUUCAUUUGAAUUUUAAAAAAUAAGGUUAAAUUAAACUUGAUUUGAGUAUUUUGAGUUAGUGGCUCUUCUCUUUCAUGGUCGUCCAAAUGUCAAUCAUCCACAAAAAUUUUUAAAAAUGAAAUUGAAUUAAACUUGAUUUGAGUAUUUUGAGUUAGUGGCUCUUCUCUUUCAUGAUCGUCCAAAUGUCAACCAUCCACGUACGGAGAUUCAAACAUGUACCAAUUUCAUAUUCUUUUAAAUAAAAAAAUAAAUAAAAAUGAAUAAUGAUGAGAUGGAAACAAGUGAGUAAUGUGGAGUGCAACUAAAGGGGUUGAAUGGGUAGGUUUUCAAUUAAUCAUCAAAUUAAAUACUAUUAUGACUUUUUGGGUGGUCCUUGUUUAUCGAUAACAAUCAAUCUUAUAGAUAUAAAUAAAAUUAAUCAAUAAUCACACAAAAAAAUAAAUUUUUUAUUAUAAAUGCUAAUUAUAAGAAAAUAGUAUAAUCCAUUAAUUAUAAAAAAAAAAAAAUUUAGUUGAUUGGAUGUAUUUAGUUGAUAGUGUCAAUAACUAUCAUCAUUUUUCACAUCUUACAAUAGCAAAACGGAAGUUACGGAAGUUUUAUGAUAAGAUAUUUAACUUUGUUGAAAUUAAAAGUUCAAAUUUUGAUCAAUUUGACUAAUCGAAUCUAAAUUUGGUGAAGUAAAAGGUUAUAUUGAGAUUUAUAAGAACUAAAGAAAAUAAGUUUCAUCUAGUUAAUAAGAAAGUAACAAAAUUUCAACUUGGCAUUUUUCUAAGUGCGUAAAGCUUAUGAAGUGGCGGCAGCGAAACUGAAACAGCGGGGGUGUGAAGUGGGUUAGGUGAGCGGUAAGCUCAACAGUAUUUUUUUUUUGUUUGUUUGUUUGUUUUCUUCCUCACCAUAAAUGAGAACGCUCUCCUUCACACGUCAACUCCAAUUUUGGAGUUGGUUGAAGCCAAAAAUCUAUUCUUCUCACGAUUUUGAAUUAAAUUCACAGUAUCGUAUCAAAAUCUGACAAAACAUCAUAAUACCAUUUUUCUAAAAAUAGAAACUUACCCACAUAAUAUGUAUAUUUCUCUGUGACCAAAUGUGUACAUUCCACACCACCCUCAAUACAUAAUUUACCCAAAAAAGAAACUACGCUACUUCCACGAUUCUACCCAAAAAAAAAAAAAAAACUCAUUGCGAUCACAGCCGUUGAAUCCAACCCAAUCUGAGCCGCCAAAACUGGUUCUAUCUACGGACAAGAAAGUUGUUGUCUUUUAACCAGAGUAUUCAAGAGCCAGUUCCACUUUACAGGUGUCGUCUUCUGAGCCGGCCAUCUCUUCCUUCUCUCUCACCACGGCACACGCCUUCUGCACCUUUGGAAUCGGCUCCAAGCCCAGUGUCAGCUCCAGCUCCACGUCGCUCCCAUCACGCGUCGGCUUCACUAGCGAAGCCUCCACAGUCUCCACCGACAUGCUGUCUGCUUCUCCGCUCUCGCGGCUCCCUGGAUGACUCACUCUCGAGUCACGACUCAGCUCGCUUUUAUAGCACCGGCUUAGGAUAACCCCAGCCGAUUCGUCGAACUCCGCAGCCGACUCCACUCUGGCCCUGGGCUUCCCACUCGAGCGCUUGAACCGCCCCCUGCUCUUAACCUUGUGAAGCUCGUGAGAAGAGCCAGCAGAGUUCUCAUCCUUUGACACGUGCCGAAUAUCUCCUGCUUUCAACGGCGGGCUCAUGCUGCUGACGGCCGACUCAGCCGAAAUCUGCAUGAUCGGAGCGCCGCUGAGCACUGCUUCCACCGCCGACUGACAAAGUUGCCAGCUUCCCGACCACAGAAGCCCGGCCGAGCCGUAUAUCGGAUUCACGAUCCUCCCACAAGCCUCGUACAGCAAUGAUCUGAAUAUAGCUGCAAAACCAAAAACAAGAAAAUUAACCAGGUUUCAGAAAGAAAACUUUUGAAAACGAAAACAAAAAAAAUCAAAAUCAAACGGAAGUAGAGGACUGACCAGGGCGGAGGUGUUCGGGGCCAGCAUUGAUAAGGUUGAUGAGGCCAGCGCGGCCGUAAAAUUUGGCGAGGAAGACGGUGGCAUUGGCUUGAAAAUCGGGGUUUUUGAUCCACUGAAGGCAAGGUCUGAGAGUGCAGCUAUCAUUACAGCCUUUGCGAAGGACUCGACAGCCAUUACAACUCAUCCGCAUGGCUGGGGUGUUUGGAAAGGAGGAAAAAAGGGCGAGAAAAUGGGGAAAAGGGGAGGAGAAAGAGUGAGGGGAUGGAAGAGGAGAUGUGGGGGGAUAUUUAAGUGAGGGAGGGCGUGGGUUUGAGGGCGCAAGUGGUUUGGGAAAGAGAAAAGGAUGUGAGAAAAUUGUAAAUUUGUGUUUGAUGGGAAACUGCUUGUAUUUAUUGCCAAAUUCUCUCAUUGCCCCUCUCUUGUCUGCCUCCGGUUUUCAACCUUUCCCUCUCUGCUUUCCCCUUUUUCUAUUCCUGCUUCCGCCACCCCAUCCUUCGUUUUUCCUUUUCUCUCUUACUGCGACCAUUCAAAGGAAAAAUACGGGAGAAAGACGGUCAGUUACGUAAAAAGAAUCUAAUCUAAAUCCCACACAAGCAACCACGUCCUUGGUUGAUUCUGAUGGACGGACGUUGAUCAAGGUUACUGCGGUCUUUUCAAUCCCCCAAACAACGAGGCCAAGAUUGUAAUUAAAGGGAAUCUCAGGGUCAACAGUAUCUUCGACGCCAUGCAUAUUGCUCCAAAACUACAUGCAGCAUGAACACGACACGUGUAAAGCCUUACAGAGCUCAGAGUGCUGACUAGUCGCCACAUAGUGGCUCACACCUUGAGAAUAGAGGCAUCCUCGCACGCGCCACAUUUACACGCGCCAAACACGGAGAUUCAUCCCAGUCGGGUGAGUCAUCUGCCCACGUGAAAAGUCACACUUAACUGGGGUAUGAUUGGAGGGCAGGAGUGGAGGGCGCGUUGGGUAGGAAUAAGAAUUGGGGAGCGUGGAAAACGCCGCCCUAAGUUUCCACUCCCGGUUUUGUGGAAUCCGUACACUGGUUUUAAAUCGUGACUGUGGGCGCCCUUUGGACUGGGCCUCUGGUUUUGGUGUCCAUGCUUAUCCUAUAAGCGUGGAGCCGACGUUUCCCUUUUCCAAUAAUUUAAUCCCCUUUUCUAAUAAUUAAACAAAACCACCACCCUUCACAUUAAUUUAUUCAAUUAAAAAACCAAUACCUUUGGAUUCAUUAAUUAUUACCUAAUAUUCAAAUUAAAUAUUAAUCAUUCGAUUAAAGACCAAUAAAUUUGGAAUAAUUUAAAUCACACGAAUAAAGUCUACCGUCCAUCAUUAUUUUAUUUAUUUAAAAUAAAAUAAUUAAAUAUAAAAAAUAAAAAAAUAAAAAAAAUUAAGAAUUAAGUUGUCAUCAUGAUAGAAAAUUUUGUUCUCCGUCACCAUACUAGAGAAUAAUAAGGCCACGAUUUUUUUUUGGAGAUGGAUUGUUUGACAAAAGCGGAGUGAGUCUGUGGCAAUAAUAAUUAUCCGGCGGAAUAUGAAGAAGUUUGACUCAAUUCUUAUUCAAUAUUUUUAAUUACAAAUUUUAUGUUGCAAUAAAACAAAUAUUUUAUUUUGGAAACGUUUAAAAUAUUCGAUCUCAAGUGCUUGACAACUCGUAAACUUUACUAACUAUAAAAUUAUAGAUGAUUAGGUCUAGAGAUAUUUGCAAUUUGGAAAUCUUAGGGACUGUUUGCCCACAUGAUUUAAAAAUAAUUUUUUAAAAUUUAUAACAUUAUUAUAUCAUUGCUUUUUAUAAAUAAUUUGUAGAGAAUGAGUAAAAAUUAUUUUCAUCAAUUUUUAAAAAAAUAUAGGUUUCGGCUUAUUAUUUUAAAAUAUUUUUAAUUUUAAGUUAUUAUUUUGUCAAUAAAACCAUGCUCAAUGUAUUUAGUGAUUUAAAUUAAUAAUUAAAUUAUUUAAAUAAUUUACCAAAUACAUUAUACUUGUUAUUCAAUGUUGGAUUGUUUGGUUUAUUUUGUUAAUAGUUUGCAACACCUAUAAAACGUGAGAUGGAAACCCAUGUGUAAACAAGAAUUUCAAAAAGCGUAAGUUCCAUAUUAGUUUAAAUGAGAAGUAUGUUUUUAUAUUUGCCUCAUCUAACAUCUUUUUCUCAUUUAAAAAAUAAAAAAUUUAAAAAUUAAAUCAAUUCAACCGGAAUAAGAAGUGUGAAUGAACAUCUUAUUCAUUUUAUCUUUUAUUCCAUACUUGGAUGGGUGAUGUAGGGACCCCUCCCUCCGAGAUACGUGACACGCAUCUUACAGUGACACAUGAUAUGCAUUGUCAUCCGGGUCACCCUCAUCCGGAUCUUCCUAUAAAGCACACAUGACGCGCUUUUUCCAUCUGGACUGCCUCAAGGAAGAGCAAACGACGCUUACAAAGCAUAGACAUCCGGACGGCUUCCAUAAAUGCGUCUGCUCCACAAUACAUCCGGAUAACCAACAUGGGCUAUCCGGAUAUGAUUGUCCGGAUCAUUGACUAAAGUAAAGCGAGUCUUACACGCUAUCACAACAACCAGACAUGACCCACGUCCCAUCACUUGCAGAGUGAAAGGACGAGUUGAGGUGACAACAAGUCACUUCCCACGAUCUCUGACAGCCGCAUCACCUACCACGGUUUCUAACAACCGUCCGUAGGAUGGUGAUGACCCUGCUGCCAUCUAAUGUCAUCAUGACAACAUAAAAUAUCUCCCCACCAUUAAUGAGAGGAAUAGUACUCCUGACACUAUAUAUAAACCUUCACACGAAGAGGAAGGUAAUCUCCUGAUACCUAGUAAAAGGUCAACUGAUUUAUAUCUCCCUCUCUAACCAUGGCUAACAAAACCAUCGGAGGGUGCGUCCGGACACCCUGUCCGAAUGCCUUUUGCAGGUAUAACGACUGAAUCAAGAACCUAUUUUGGUUGAGGUCGCGCAUCCAUCCAUUUGGCAACUACGUGGAACACCAGGAGCGCGAGGUAUCAACAGGUGAUAGAAAUAAAAUUAAAAGUGAUUCUAAUGGAAAUGAAAUUUUAUGAAGAAGGUAUUUUGAUUCUGUAAGAUAUUUUUAAAUAUUAAAAAAUUAAAGACUCUUUUGAAUAAGUUAUUUUUUUAAACAAUUUUUUUUUUUUUGUAAUACUAAAUUCAAUUUUAUAUAAUAUAAUUUUAAUUUAAUUAACAUCUUAUUAAAAAUAUAAAAAAAUUUAAUCAAUAGAUUCAAAAUAUUCAAAAUAAAUAAUUUUUAAUAAAAUAUUAAUAUUAAUACUAUAAUAAAGUCAUAAAUUAUAUUUUUUUCUAUAAAUAUUAUAAAAGUAAAGGCAUUAACAUUAAUUGAUCUAUUUUGUUAAAAAUAAAUAAUAAUAGUUUUUAAUGCCAUUUUGUAGACCCCUUUUUUUUUAAACCAAAGUUUUUUUUUUCUUUCUUCUCUUUUUUAUUUUUUUUACCACCCGAGGGGAGCUGGUAGCACCUUGGACGAGUGGGGGACCGACUUCCAUGAAGCUUCAUGCAUGAGACGCAUAGCCUUGGACGUGACCACCUCGCCAUUGUGGUGGUUGAAGUUUCAGAGGAUGACGGUUGGAGCAACAAAGCAGGUAGCGACUUGCGAGGGAAGAAAUAAACAGGGGAGGAGUGAAAAGCUUAAAAGGGAGCAAGAGAGGUUGAAGAAUGGUUCAGAGGAAAAUUCAAGAGAGCUUGAGAGGGAACCAGUGAAGAGCCUUAGAGAGAAACUGAAGAAGAAGUAGGGGAGGAGCUCGUCAGUUCGGUCUAGGUAUGGUUUCAGCAUUCUUUUGUAUUUUCUCAUCUCAGACGGUUCUAUCCUGUUUCCUGAUGAUUUUUAGGUUCAUUUGCUGAUUGGUGUGAAUAUUAAGGGCCACUUGUUUGCUUUGCUAUACCUGCUUUUUAUGUGCGUGCUCUGUUAGGGCCUCAUGUUUUGAUAUCUUUAUUUAUCUCUGGAAAAUACUUAAUGUAUUAAUCUUUCCCUGAAUUUGAUAAAUAGAAAUCCUGCUCUUGCUUCAUGAGAUUUUUCCACCUAUAUCCAGCUCAUUGAUCAUCAUGAAAUGGAACUAAAUGUAGCAUAAUUUCUUUCUCUUGUACAUUUUUUGUUUUUCUUCAUUUUACCUUCUGUUUUUAGCAUUUUUUGGAGUGUUGGUAUCAUGUUCAGUUUGGCCGUCUGGAUUUGGGGUGUUUUUGAGAGAGAUUAGCAUUAGAGUCUUUGGGAGACAUUGCCCCUAUUGUAUAUUUGGUAAGCUGAAGGUUAUCUAUCUAAGGAAGGCUUGAAGGAGUGGCCUGAGUUGUCAUCACCAGCUGCAUCUCAACAACCAGUUGGUUCACUGAAUAUGUCCAGGGCUGAUUUCAGAAUGGCUUCCCAACAACAUGGAUCAUUUUCCAGAGUUGGACUAUACCCUGCAUGCGUGAAACGCUAUUUUCGCAUGGCCACCUUAGAUCCUAUGUUUUCCAUUUCCCACUGAACACACCUCCUGCCCACCGAACCCGUUUCCCCUACACCACAUAUCCUCCAUGCCCACCUUUAAACCCACUUCUCUCUCUAAAUCUUCACAUACCCAUUUUCUCCAUUUAUCUCACCCCUUGCAGUAGCUCCCUUCACCAUCAAACCAUCACCAAACCACCACCUGCACCACCACCAACUCCUCCACCAAGCCACCCACGGAUAGAGAAAAGAAAAGGAGAGAUUUUAGAAAGAGAGAAAUGGCACCAGUGUUGCAGAGCUCUCAGCCAUGGGUGGAAUAAUAUCGUCCAAAGCAAGUGAAGGGUGUAGCUCACUAGGACGAGGUGGUUCGAGUGUUUACCAGCGCUCUUGAGACCACAAACUGCCCGCACAUGCUAUUCUAUGGGUCGCCCGAUACCAACAAAACCACCACUGCACUUGCCAUUGCUCAUCAACUUUUUUGGUUUAUUCUUAUUAGAGGUUUUGAGGGAGUGAGGGAGGGAGGGGGGGGGGGAGAGAGAGAGAGAGAGAGAGAGAGAGGAAAGUUUGAAGAUGAUUGGACACUAAUGCAAUGAAGGAAAUAUCUACUAGAGAAAAUAUCACUAAAUUCAAGAUUUCAUAUUUUUGAACCACUGUGAGUUGGUGGAAGAUAUUUUUAAGAAUCUUACACUAGAACUUCCUGGUUAAACUUGAUGGACCAAAAAUGAUAUCUAUAAAAGGAGAAUCUUAAUAAGAGAAACUAAUUCUUGCAAUUCAUGUUGUUGGUGAGUUUGCAAUUAUGCUCAAAGUUGAAAUUCCAAGGGAAGUUAGUGGAAGAGAAAAAAACAAAGGUUAUUCAAUUUUUAAGGGGCACACCCAUGGUUAUUGAUAGUGACAUCAUGAGAGAGGUUAAUUAAUUUGUUAGAAAGUACCAAUGACCAUGUAUAUGCCAAAUAAACAUUUAUUAAGACUGACUUUUUUUUUUAAAUUUCUUUUUGCUUUGUUUUGAUGUCUAACUGUACUUGUGUGUUUCUAGUUUGUCAUAUAUCCAUUUAAAUGUUUUUUCAAAAUUUCGAUUUUUAAAUUUAAUUUUCAAUUUUUCAAAAUUCCAUUUUUCAUGUUUAUUUAUUUAAUCAUUAUUAUUUUCAUUGUUAUUAUUAUUUCAUUUAUUUUUAAAAUUCCAUCUUUAAAUAAUCCUUCAAAAUUCCAAUUUCCAAAAUUUCAGUUUUCACAUUUAUUUAUUUAAUCAUUAUUAUUUUCGUUAUUAUUAUUAUUCUAUUUAUUUAUUUAUUUAUUUUUAAAAUUUUAUCUUUAAAUAACUUUUUAAAAUUUCAAUUCCCAAAUUUAAUUCCCAAUUUUCAAAAUUUUAAUUUUUACAUUUAUUUAUUUAAUCAUUGUUAUUUUUGUUAUUAUUAUUAUUCUAUUUAAUUAUUUAUUUAUUUUUAAAAUUUUUCAUCUUUAAAUAAUUUUUCAAAAUUCCGAUUUUCAAAUUUGAUUCCCAAUUUCCAAAAUUCAAAAUUUUCACAUUUAUUUAUUUAAUCAUUAUUAUUUUUGUUAUUAUUAUUAUUCUAUUUAUUUAUUUAUUUUUAAGAUUCCAUCUUUAAAUAAUUUUUAGAAAAUUCCAAUUUCCUAAUUUAAUUUCCAAUUUUCAAAAUUCCAAUUUUCACAUUUCUUUUUUAUUAUUAUUAUUACUUUAUUACUUUAUUUAUUUUUAAAUACCAUCUUCAAAUAAUUUCCUAAACUCCAAUUCUCAAAUAAUUUUCAAAAUCCCAAUUUCUUUCAAAUUUAAUUUCCAAAAUUCUAAUUCUUAAACUUAAUCUUCGAAACUCCAAUUUUCAAAUAAUUUUCAAAAUUCCAAUUCCUUUUAAAUUUAAUUCCCAAAAUUCCAAUUCUUAAAUAUAAUUUUCAAAACGCCAAUUUUCAAAUUUUUUUUUAGUUUUCAAUUUUCGAAUAAAUUUCAAAACUUUAGUUUUCUUUCAAAUAAUUUUGAUUUCAUUCCAUUUUUCAAAUAUUUCUUUAAUCCUACCACACUUCAUCUUUCCUUAAGGUUCAGGGUCACUAAAAAUCCCAUUUUUAAUAAAUUUGUUGCCUUUUUCUUUGAGGCAAGUACCUUCAUAAAUUUUUCUUUGAUUUUAAAAUAAUUUUUAUGUUCCUCUUGAUUUUUAAAUAAACAAUAAUGAAUUUUUUUUUUCAUAAUUUCAAAAUAAUGGAAUUUGUGAAACUAAUUCAUUCAAGAUAAAUUGGGCUUUGGUGGAGGUCCUAUGCAUGAGUUUUCUCUCUUGAUUGUCAGCUGUUAUACUUAAUAAAUAUUGUUUGAUCUUUGUCUUACUUUUUGAUAUGAAUGUGAUAAUUUUAUACUCAAAUUAACCUUGUUUCUAUGAUAACGCACUAUUAAUUGUUGUUAAGGUACGAUCUCACAGACUGUCUUUUUCAAAUAAGGAGUCACACUUAGAGUUUUUUUCUUAUUUUGUUUACCCUUUAAAAAUAAAACAAAAAUAAGUGGCGAUUUCAAGCCAUUUUUUGAACAAUAAAUCAUUUUUCAAAUAAAAAGUGAGUUCGCCAACGAGUGGAAGUGCAUGAGCCGAAAUGCGGGGUUCACACAUUUAUAAAAUUAUAUAAAUAUUAUAAAAAUAUGAAUAUUAAUAUCUUAUAAAAGCAUAAUUAAUUGUUAAAAAUAAAGAAUAAUCAUUCAAAAUUAAUAAUUGUUAAUAUUAUUUUAUUUUAAAUGUAUAUAAAAACAAAGACAAUUUAAUUUUUUAAGGUAUCGAUGAACCAAAAUUUUCAUUAUAUGCAUACAUUUAUUAUUUAAUUAUGAAUAUUGUAUUUUAAAUUAUUUUAUUUAAUCUAUAAUUAAUUAAUCAAUUUUUAUUUAUUUAUUUCAAAUUAUACUUAAAAAUUAUAUGAUUUAUUAAAGAAUUCAAAACAUUAAUUAUGUCCAUUAUUUUUUGUUGUCAUUAUAUAUAUAUUUGAGUUUCAAAAUAUUUUUUAAAAUUAUUAAGUUUAUUAAUAAAUUCAAUAUAAAAUAUCACGUGAUUUAAAAUUCAUUUUUUUAAAGAAAAAAAAUAUCUAUUUUAUUUUGUUUUUAAAAAUUAUUUUAAAGAAUAACAACCAUGAUAUCAAUUUUUAAAAACAAUUUUGUUUGUAAAUUAUGUGCCCAAAUAGGAUUUUAUUAUUUAGCAAAAAAAAAAUCUCAAGUAUUUUUUUUAACUGAAAAUAAAAAAUUAUUUUAAAUCAUAUAUACAAAUAUUAUUGACAAAUUAUUUUUAUUAUUUUUAUUUUUAUUCCUAUUUUUACUUAACAUUUGAAUGAAAACAAAUUAUCAUUACUACCUCACAUUUCUAUAUGCAUCCAAAUACAAGAGUUGAAACCACUAAAUUCAUUCAUAUUUAAGAGAAAAUAUUAAUAGAAACAAAAUAUUUAUUUUCAUUUCUCAUUCUCACGUACGAAAACACUCCAUUAGAUUAACCAUUGAUUGAAUGCAAAAAAUAAUUUUUAAAUGUUCAAUUCAGAUAAUUGUAUGAUUUGUUUUAAUCAAACACAAAACAUUUGUUUUUUUUUCAAGAUUUAAACAAAUUAUAUAUAUAAAAAAAUAAUAAUGAAUUUUAAAACUCAAUUUUACUUUUUUUUUUAAGUAAAAUUUUCACUACUUAAAUAAAAGGUAAUUUUAUUUAUAAAAAAGAAGUAAAUAAUAAUGGUAAAAUUAUUCUUCUUCUUAAAAGUACUAAAUGGGAUUUUAGAGAAGCUUUAAACAAAAAUAUAAAUAAUUGAAACAUACAAACCUGUGCAUUUGGUAAUGAUUUUAGAAAGUGUUUUUAAUUUUUUUAAUACAUGAAAAAUAAAAUAUUUCAAGUGUAAGAAAGUUUAAAAGCAUUUUAUAAAAUUACUACCAAAUAUACUCCAAGUCAUUAAUAAAAAAGAUUUUAGAAAUUAGAGUAACAUUUACAUGUCAUUUAUUUUGAUGGCAUGUAAAAUGACACGUCAAAUAUAUUUUUUUAAUUUAUAAAAAUAUGAAAAUGAGGGCAUUUUAGGUAUUAUAUUUAAUGAAAUAAAAUGUAUUGUAAUAUUUUUUGGAUUCAAAAAGUGAAAACAGGACAUAUUUUCAUAUUAGGAAAAUGGGAAUUAAUGUCUACAUUUUUUUUUUAAAAAUGAAGACGUGAGAAAAAAAAUCAGUAUACAUAAAUUUUAAUUAUUUAUGAUACAUGUACAUAUAAUAAAGUAUAAUUAUCUAAUUUAAUUUAAAUAAUUAAAUAUUUGGGUAGUGUCAAUUGCUUAGGGCUUAUUUGAUAAUUAUUUUAGCACAUUUGACAAUCACAAUUGAUAACAAAAAAUAUGAUGUUUUCAGAAAACAUAUUUUAAUUUUUUUUAUUUAUUUUAUGUUUUAUGUUUUUACUUGUUUUCUUAUAGAUGUUUUAAAAAUAAUUAUGCAAAUAUAUAGAAGGAUUAAAAAAUAAUUAUGCAAACUUAUAGAAGGAUUAAAAAUAAAACACUAGAUAUAAAUAUUAUUUUAAAAAUAGGUUAAAAAUAUUUAAUAUUUUUAAACAAAAUCUUGUUUUAUAAAGUAUUAGAGAACAAUACUAAAAAAUCAUUCUCAAAAACUAUUUUUGAGAGCUAUUUUCAAAAAUGGUUGUCGAAUUCCAAACCCUAUGCUAAUCUAAAUCCUAAAAAGGUUACACAAGGUUUUGAAAAAUAGUUGUGGAGAACUAUUUUUGGAUUUUUUGUAAAUAAAUAGCUAUUUGGGAAUUUGAGAAAUAUUCUUAAUCCAUUUUUCUAUAUUUUUAAAUAUUUUUUAAAAAUAAAUUUUAUCUGUAAUAUUUUAUUUUGGAUUAUUCUCAAUAUUUGUAUAAUUAUAUUUUAAAAUAUUUGUAAGAAAAUAUUUGAAAAUAAUAAAAUAGAUUAUUAGAAAAUAAAUUUUAUGAAUAAGGAACGAUUUUUUUUUUAAUUUAUUUUUUUAAUUAUCAGGUAUGUCUACCAAACUGUUUUAAAAAACAACGGUAAAACAGGGCCUAGUGUUUUUGUAAUCACAUUAUGUUCUCAUUUCUGUAAUUCUCAACCCUUAUACUACCGCAUUAUUUGAGCAGGCCUGGCCCAACCUGUUAAUCGUGUGAGGGCCUGGGCCCAUAAUUAAUUCCUCUAGCCCAAACCAGGCCCUUAUAUAUCGAAUUAGGAGAGGAGUGUGUCGCGAGAGCAGAGGGAGGAGAGGAGAAAUGGGGAGAAAGAAGGGAACCGUGGAGUUCGAUGAAUCGCCGCCGGACGGGUACGAUCCGGAGAAUCCGUACAAGGAUCCGGUGGUGUAUUUCGAUAUGAGAGAGUAUCAGGUGAGGGAGAAGUGGAUUGACAUAGAGAAAGCCAAGAUCUUGAGAGAGAAGCUUAAGUGGUGUUACCGCAUCGAAGGUGUCAACCACCUCCAGAAGUGCCGCCACCUUGUUCAGCAGUACCUCGACGCCACCCGUGGUAUAGGUUGGGGCAAGGACGGACGUCACCCGUCCCUCCACGGUUCGCCCCUUAAUUCUCUGUUUGGUUUCCAUGGACAUGAAAAUUUUUGUUUGUUUCUAUUUCCAUUCGUUCCGCCAGCUGUUUGAUUUUGUCUUUUGAUUUUAUGGAGCAGGUCCUAAGGUUGAAGCCGAGUCGGAAUGAGCCACCCUGCGUGGAUUGUUCAAGGUAUUGGAAAUUUCUUGGUAUCAUAAUCUGUCGUUAGUUCGUAAUCGUUGAUUGCUACUUCUUUUGCUUUUUUGUUGAAAAUGCAUAUGAACUACUUUUUUCUUUUUCUCUGUCAAACGAAUACUAAAGAUUCGGUUAGUUUCGAUUAUUAUUUUCUCAGCUCUACAUGCUUAGUUACAAUUAUUUGUAUAAUUAUGAUCGUUGUGGCAUUACAUGGUCCUAAAAUUGUAGGGGUAGUAUACAGAUAAGUGGAUUAGUGACUCCAAAUGUUAUGAUUAGUUUAGAUGAUUGGAUCCUGAUCAUAGUCUUAGCUUGUUAAGGUGGCUUGCACCUGUCACCAACAACUUGAAGACAUGUAUAUUUGUUUAAUAUCAUUUAUGGUAGUUUAAACUACUACAGAAUGAGCAAGCAGUGGUAGAGUAGUUUGGAAUGGAGCACAUUAUAAUGGUUGGAAUAAGAUAUCAUGUUGUGCAAUGCUGUGGAACGUUGUAGAGUUGUUGAAAAAGUUGGGAAUAACAGGAGUAUAUUUAGUUAUACAGAAUUAUUUAGAUUUCCAAUUUUAUUGGGAUAUGAGACCAAAUAAAGUUUAUUUGAAAGGAUUGUCUUUGAUGUUGUAUUCUUGAGUACCGUCCCAUGUGGUGCUUUGGUAUCUCAUAUGUUAAUUCAUUUAUUAGUGUAAGCAACCCCGUGUAUUCAAGUGUGUGCUUUGGCUAGGGUUUGCAGUUAGCUUGAAUUCUUGUGUGCCUUACAGGGUUGAGCAAUAAAAUUGGGUGUUUUGAGUGGUUGACAUUCUUAAAAGUGUUAUACAAGUCUAUUAGGAUAGACCACUUAGCAUCCUUGAUUGAAAGGCUGUUUUUUCAUCCUCACCCUCGUUCAACUUUUUAGUCUUUUCCUCUCUUUUUCUUGCCCUUUUUAUUGAAAGGUAAUAAUAAUAUUAGUGAGAAAAAGAGAAAGAAGCAAGGUCUUGUACCAGCAAGGUAUACAUAUACACAGUCACACCUGUAGCUCAAGGAAAGACCAUUUACAAAGUGCAAAACAUUAGGAUUUCAAAUCUUCCAAGAUUACUGUCCAUAAAACCAAAAUAUCACAAUAGUUCAUUCAGUCUACGACCAGAGAGGAAAGGUUCUUGUUCUAAGCUAUUAUGAUUUGGAUUACAAUGUAUAUCAUUCAAACUUUGUGAUUGUAGAUAAAUAGAGAGAUAAAUAUUGGGGGGAGGAUUCAAACUCAAGAUCUCUAGUUAACCCAAACUUUUAUGCCAUGUUGAGUUACCAACUUUCUUAAAAGCCCAAGCUUUUAGGAUUUGGACCCAUAAUGUAUAUCAUGCUCUAACACUUCACUUAAAAGCUCUUUUAGUUCACUCAUCCUAAAUGCAAGACAAAGCAGAAAAGAGGCUGCUGCUUUCCAAUAUUGGAGUUCCUUUUUCAUAACCAUGGACUAAGUCAAUCAAUCACUUUCCAGUUCCUCUCGGAAUUCUAUUAUUGGGUUUAUUACCUAAAGCCUAGUGCAAAUGUGAAUUGCUAAAUUUCAAUGAGAGGAUGGUGAAGAAUAGCAUGAUUUUCUGAAUUUUCCUUACCACUAGCAUAUUCAAAAUCCAGGACAAAUUUUCCAUGUCUACUCAUCAAAUGAUCUAUAGCUAAGAUAUUAUCGCUAUCAGUUGUCACGCAAAAAAGGCAACUUUCAUGGGUGCAAAGUAUUCCCAUGCAGCCUUCAUCAGAAAGUCCUCAUUAUCUGAUGCUUGCCUCAUUUGGAGAAUUUGACCAAUAAAAACCAUUUCUAUUAUCCCCAAACCAACUUGGCCUCCUAUUCACAUCCACUUGAGAACCAGAAACUUGACUGUUACCCCUUUCAUCCUGGUUGAGAAUGGGGAGGUGUGGUUUUAUGUUUGAGGGUGUUGAUUUGGUAGGGCUUUUAAAAUUUUCAUGAUUAGAAACCUUGGGCAACUCAGGCCUCUUAAAAUAGCAUUCUUUGUAUGGAGAAAAAUUUGACUAUUGACCAGGCUAUGCACUAAGCACUGGCAUUUCUAAGUUGCUUGGAUUGCAUCCAUUGGAAACUUCUUGAAAACCAGAAACCAAUUUGUUUAGUGCCGGCAAGCUAUUAAAUUGGUUUUUGAAAAACCAGUUUUCUCAUUGUCCCAAAUAAAAUAAAAUAAUAAUAAAUCACAUUUACCCAGAUCAUUUUGCCAUGAAAUAUGUAACUACAAAGAAAGAUGAGGGAUCCUUCUCUAAUCACACAAUCCUCUAUAUAAAUAUGAUCAAAAGUAAGAAUAAUUGUCUGUUCUAGAAAGCAAAUAUAAUGAUACAAUUGAAAGCAAUUACAAUUGCAAAAUUAAUAAUCCCUGAAAUCAAAUGGUUGGCUCCUCUUUUUACGAACUUAUCCACCAUGGGAUUACUUGAGUGAGGAAUCCAAGUACUGAAGUUUCUAAUUCUAAAGCAAUAUAAAAAAUUUGGUAAAACUAUUCAUCAAACUUCCAUGAGCCGCCUCCUUUCUUAUUCAGCUAGAAUAGGAUGACAACUGAAUCUCUCUUUAUUAGAAGAUUGGAUAAAUCCUGAGAUUUGGUUAGCUUUAAGCCUUUCCACAAAGUACUUUGCCUCCAUGGCAAUUCCAACUCUAGCAUGUUUAGAGAAUGCUCUCACUACUGUUCCAUGAUGAUUCAUAAACCUUAAUCCAAUUUGUAGUGGUCUUGGGUAACCUAAGAAGCACUCAUCAAAAUUCAACCUGACACAAUGCAAUGUAGGAGUCCAUAUAUAGAGUUUCUCCUCAACCAAUAGGUUCCUAUCUAACAAUAUAGUGCUCAAUGGGAUGCCAAUGAAUGUUGCAUUAGUUGAGGCCUAGAGAGGAGGAAAAAUAGAUUAAAUCCCACAUUGUCUCCAAAGUCCUCCAUUUGUCCUAAAAGAUCCUUACAUUUCUCUCCUGCUAUGUAGUCCAAAUUAAUGUGAGACUAGCAGCAUCACACCACAAUGACUUCUCUAAAGGGUGAUUUCCAAAACUGCUUGUGCUUUCCUCAUUAGGGAAAUUGGGUUUAAAAAGAAAAAAAAAAAAGAACCCUUUUAAUGAUUCAGGAGGCUUUUGCAUGAUUAUCACUUCUUUUUUCUUCACUUAUCAACAAUUCUGUUAUUUUUAAUCAAUUAGCAAAGAGAUCUAUUAUAAAAAAGCAGAAGUUGAUUUCUGAAUAUGCAAGGAAUUUGUUAAAUUUGUUGAUAUCAAUCUUUAUCCAUAUUUGGACUGAUGUAAGGGCUAAUUGGUCCCACACUAUGGUUUACUAGUGCAUGAGACAUGAAAAAAUUAGGCCUGAUGAAAGAACAUAAAUAAGUUGUGCUUUCUUUCUGCAGGUGACUGAAAUGGCCAUCUGGUAAUUGCUUAAAGCAGAGGGAUAUUGGAACCUGCCUAUUUAUCAGUUUAGUUUCUUUGCUGUUAAUUGUCUUAUGCUUCAAUGGUUUUCCCUUCAUUCUUGUUAUAUCCAGAUGCCGGAUGUUAUUGGCAUUGGUUUGGAUGUUAGAUCUUUUUGCUUGUUAGCAUCCAGAAACUGAUAAUGAUUUGAACCAAGGCAAUGAAUCCAAAGAUAUCCUCUAUGAAAUAAGUUACAACUUGUGAUUUGUUCCUUGUUGAUAAUGAAUGGCAUCUUUUAUGCAAUGUUUGUUUUCUAAUAAAUGCAUUGCUGGACAUGAUUGUGUCAGAAUUGUCAAAGCAUUUUUUUUGUUUUAAUUUAAGAAUUUAUUUAUUUAUUCUGAAACUUGGUCAAUUGAAAAUUUGACUUUGUUCAGGAGUAGGCAGUUUGGGAGGUUUAGGGUCUACAGAACUAUGGUAGAUGUCUUUUGUGUUCACCCAUUCACUGCCAGAUGUUUUCCUGGACUAUUUGUUAGACGAUGGUAAAAGGAAAAAGAAAUGUGAUUUUAUGCAGUUUUGUUCAUUUCAAAUGCCAAAUACAAAGUAUUAUAGCUUGAUACUCCUCUUUUGCAACUUCUGCUUCGGAACUUGGGAAGCACAAAAUAGGUCAACUUAUCUGGAGUCUUGCCCUCCACCCCAAACAGACUAAAUUCAUCCAAUUAAGUGAAGCAAAACAAUAUCAAAUUUAGUGCUUGUAACGUUCUGAUUUUUGAAGGCAGUAAUGAAACAAGUCUUAGAGACAAUAAGAAGUAAUGGCCUUUUCUUGCCCAUCUCUUAGGUGCUUUUAAUAUAUUUACUUCUUUGCCUAGGAAAAAAAAAAAAAAAGAAGACAAGAAGUAACAUUUAUGAUUUACCUUUUCAAAAAGCACUGUGAAGAGUCCUUUUUUUCUUAGUCUUAGGCUCCAAAGUAGGAUUAGUGAUGCUAUUGAGACAUGCUGAUUGGACACCAUCUUAAUGAUUACAAUAUAGUUGGGACUGUGAAAGCAUGGAUGAUAGGGUUUUUGAUUUCAUGAUGUGGUUUUCUAAUGAGACUAUAAGAAAUCAAGGAUGGUAGCUGCUUUCCUACCUUGAGAUAUUGUGUGCGCAUAGCCACAGCUGGAACCUCUCAAACUCAUCACUCUUCACUACUCUUCUUUCCUGGAAAGCAGACAAACUUGAGGAAAUUAAGGUUAAAUGUGUGAAGGAGCAGAUUAGUGACAACUAAAAUGAAACAACCAUAAAAACUAAUUAACAGUUAUAAUGAAAAUCCUAUCACAGAAAUGGAUAAUGACUAUAGACCAGGUCUAGAAGGAAACAUAUAUUUCUUGGGAAAACUGAGAUCUGCCCUGGGAGCUCCCUUCAGUCCAAUGAGUGGGCAAAGCGUGCGGAGGAGUUGCUCCCAUGUCAUGCAUCAGGCUAAACUUAGCAUUUGUCACUCCACAGCCAUACUCGAACCGAAUUGAUUGAGAAAAGAAUAAGCAUAGCCAAGUGCAUGAGAUGGCAGCUCUGGCCGCCCCUCAGCCCUCUUUAUUGGACUAAAAGGAGCUCUUCAGCUGUUCCCCCAAAUCAUGUAUUAUCCUGCACAUGCCUCUCCCUCACACGCACAUAUGGUAGUAGUAGAAGAGAAUGAGAAGGAGCAGAAAGGUAUCACAUGCUCCCUCCCUUGUGCUUCCUUUAAACGCAGCUUGUCACUCCCACAAAAAAUGUUUUAAGAUAUGCUGUGAAAGUACCUUUUCCUGGGAAAGAGAUUCAUGGAAAUCCUCUCAUUUCAUUUUCAGAUUUUUCACCACAUUCCUGGAUUUAUAUAACCCUUGGCUCCGAGCAUCAGCCUUACCAGUCUUGUGCCAAUUGCACUGUGCCAUAUAACACAGCACGUGUAUGUCAUGCAUACCAUGUUUGCUUCUUCUCUGUGCUGUAGUUGUGGAUAGUGGAUGCAUCAUCAUGUCUACCCAUUGGUUUGAUGUUCUGGUCUAGCUUUUCUUGAACUGUUGUCAACUUUGGUGAAAGAAUCAUCGAACCAUUUUAUAAGUGAGAGAAUCAUUGGUUAUAUUGGGGUUUUUUUUUGGCACAUUUUUGGGUGAGUAGAUUAAUAAUCCCCAGGCUACUAGGUUCUCUGCCAGCAUUCUGACAUUUGAAAAUAAUUCAAAACUUUAAAUAUGAAUCUUUACCUUCUUUCUACAUUCUGAUUAUGCUACACUCCAAACUUAUCUUAGAUGGCAGUGCAUACAAGUUUCCACAUUUGACUUCUGGCACAUAAAAGAAAAUCAUAGAAGAGUGGAGCAUAGGUAUAGGAUGGUCAAAGGGCAAUUGAAUACAGCCAUCCUCUGAACUAUGUAAGUUGCGGAGAAAGGACAAGGCUUUUAGCAUAAAAUUGUAAAAGUAUUGGGGCAAUGAAAUCUCGAAAAGAGAUUCAAUAGUACUGCAUUAUUCGCAUGAGGUCACUUCUGAGUUCUGGCUUUCUCAAGUCUCAACAGCAAACACCCACAGCAACCCUUUUUCUUCUUCACUCCACAGAACUGCUCAAAAGCAAAAGGCAGA
RNAcentral lists this long non-coding RNA (86277 nucleotides) under Vitis vinifera (wine grape). Its description in RNAcentral is "long non-coding RNA (VVIN_LNC005659)". Lineage: Eukaryota; Viridiplantae; Streptophyta; Magnoliopsida; Vitales; Vitaceae. The record is from RNAcentral.